GUAGUUUUUAUUUCAUAUGCUUGGGCCUAUAUUAUAUGGUCAGACUGUAUUAUAUUUGGAUCUUCUUACAGGUAAGCUGAAUUUUAUAAAAUUUGAAUCAUCAAGAAGGUAACGUUUUCCAUAGGACAAACAUGAGUUACUAUAAUUUAGACAUUAUCAAUCCUUUGUUUUUUUCGGAUAAUUUUUUUAUAAAUUCUUCUUAUAUCACAUAUUAUAUUUUUUACAUUUCCCUCCCUCUCUACCUCCCUAUAAAUAGCUUGCCAAUUCCAUCGUUCCCUCAUACCAAGUUCAAUAAUCAAUAAUCAUCAUCCAAUAAUAAGAUGAAGAUUAUUCACAUAGUUUUUCUUUUCUCUUUUCUUUCAUUCACUACUUCCCAAGCUUCUGUCAAUGAUUUUUGUGUAGCAGAUUUAAAGGCUCCAGAUACCCCUUCAGGCUAUCACUGCAAACCCCUAGCAAAUAUCACAUCAGACGAUUUUGUCUUUCAUGGCUUCAAAGCUGGAAACACCAACAACUCUUUCAACGCUGCACUUACCUCCGCAUUCGUCACUGAUUUUCCAGGCCUUAAUGGACUAGGAAUCUCAGCAGCGCGGUUAGACAUAGCGGAAAAUGGUUCAAUUCCAAUGCAUACUCAUCCUGGUGCUACCGAAUUAUUGAUAAUAGUUCAAGGUGAAAUAACCGCUGGAUUUCUGACACCUACCGCAGUUUAUUCUAAGACGUUGAAACCGGGUGAUCUUAUGGUUUUUCCACAAGGGAUGUUGCAUUUUCAAAUUAACACUGGUAAGGGAAAAGCAACUGCUUUUCUUACUUUUAGUAGUGCUAACCCUGGUGCUCAAUUACUUGAUCUUCUUUUGUUUUCGAAUAAUUUACCUUCUCAAUUGGUGGCACAAACUACUUUCCUUGAUCUUGCACAAGUGCAGAAGCUAAAGGCACGUUUUGGUGGAAGAGGGUAGGGAUAUGAUAUUGUUUGGUCAUGAUCAUAACCCACUCUCCUUGUGUAAAUGUUUAUUCCAAUAAUCACCUAGUGGUGGAUUUGAUUGUGUGUCUGUGUUAUUUUAUUUUAUUCUAUGUUUUAGCUAUUCCAAAUGUUAUGAUAUAUGGUUACUUGUGAUAAUGAAGUAAUAAAUUGUGUGUGAUACAUUUCUUGGUUCCUCUUUCUAUCUCUCAACCUGUCUCCUAAUUUUUUUGUUGAAUUAUGGCAACAUUUAAAAUUGAAUUGAAGAUUGAAUGAGCACGACCUGGAGAUUAUGAUUUAAUUAGCUCAAUCACUUGAAUCACAAUUGAACUAAAUGAUUAAUCUAUAAAUAAAAAAAGUAAUUGCAAAAACAAAUCUUAUUAAAUUAUUACGAUUCAAUCGGUUCAACCUUAUUCAAAAUGACUUCGAUGCGACUAUGAUUUCUAACCCAUUUUAUUUUAGAUUUAACUAGUUGAACUAAUAAUUUAAUAGAAUAUGCAACUUAGACUUAUUUACCAUUUUUGGGUGUUAGAAGUUAGAAAAUUUUACAUGAUGUGGAUAACAUCACAAUACAAUUCAAAGUAGUGGGCUAUAAUUUAUGAGAAAUGAUAUUUGAACAAUAAUUUUUAACAACUUUUGUGACAACUUUAUCUCUCAUACUCACAUUAAUUUUUUACUCUCUCUCUAUUGCUUUGGUUUUUGUGUCACUAUCUCAUUUCUUUUGCAAAAUUUUGAUUGUCACAAAAGUUGUCACAUGUAUGGAUGUUCAUAUAACACAACUCAUAAUUUAUUCAUUAAAACCUUACUUAUAUAUCAACAAGCAAAACUAGGCGUAAGACGAUUGAGUCAGCCUCUACUUGGUAGUUGGUUCUAAUCUCAUUGCCAUUGCUUCGGUGCAUCAACCUCGAGAGUGUGGAAACGGUAAAUUGGUUUGCGAGUACUGAUUCGCGGUAUUUUAAUGAAUUUGUUUGCGCAAAAUCGUGAGCAAUUCAUAGCAAAGUGCGUACGUGACAGAAGUAUAAAACAAAUCAAACAAGUUUAAUUCAAAUUUCACAUAUUGUAUGUCAAACACAAUAAAUAUCUGACCAACUUGAUAGAAGAGCUCAUCUGCCAUGAACAUGCAGCAACCAUUAGUGCAAACUGUAAAAUUAGGUCAUAGAAAAUUCAAGGCUAAAAUAUGGUUUUAGUCCCUGCAAAUAUGUCUCGUUUUGGUUUUAGUCUCUGUAAAAAGAAAAUUUUGUUUUUGGUCCCUGCUAAAUAAUUUGUUUUUGAAAAUAGUCCCUAGCCCCACUUUUGUGAUGAUUUGCAUACGUGUUACAUUAUAACUGAACCAAUUUUGUAGUUUUUGGUCCCUGCAAAAUAUUUUGUUUUUAAAAAAGGUCCUUGAAUUUUUUUUUUGUUUUUGAAAUUUUUUGCAGGGACCAAAAACAAAAAAUUUUGUUUACAGGGACUAAAACCAAAACGAGGCAUAUUUGCAGGGGCUAAAACCAUAUUUUAGCCAAAAUUCAAAUGCAUAGUAGUGUGUACCACUACCAACCUGGAUGUUGUGCAGGGGCAGCUAAGAAGCUUAUAGUAAAAUGGUCAUAUAGAGAUUAAGGUUCUUGUAUAUGCAAAAACAAUGAUUAUAAAGAGUCAUAUAUUAUAUAUAGGCUUAAAUAAGUAAAAGGUCUCUGUAAGUUGGCGCAUUUUUGGUUUUAGUCCCUGUAAGUUUUUUUGUUGCGAGACAAACCCUGUAUUUACCAAACGUUUUGGAUCUAGUCCCUGCCGUCCAAUUCCGUGAAAAAAUGAUGACCUUGCUAACGGAGCAAUACGUGGCACUUCGUGAGUUGGCACUAGUUGAUGACUGGGGUUAAUAUAGGGACUAAAACCAAAAAUGCAAUUUAACAUAGGGACUAAUUUAAAAAAACGUAAUCAUCAAUUUUUAAAUUUUAAAAACCAGUCUUUCCUUCUUCUUCCUCUCUCUGUUCUUUCCUUCUUCUUCCUCUAUUUGUUAGUUCUUUAAUUGCUUGUGCCCAAAAACUCAAACCUCAUUUCCUUCAACGAUGUCUUCUCAUUCCAUUUCUCAUUCAUCAUCAAAUGAGUUGCCUAUAAGUGCCAAUUACUUCUUUAAGUUCUGCUUCAUUUGUUCCUCCUUGAGUCUCCAAAAGCAAAUCAGUGAUAAUUACUUCCAUUUGUUUCCCCUCGCGCACCUUAAUCUUAGCCCAUCCAACCAAGUUUGUGUCACCAAAAUCCUCCUUAUCACCAGGCCUUUUCCCAUUAAGAAGUUCCAUCAUUACAACACCAAAUGAAUAAACAUCACCCUUUGCAGUGCACCUGAAACUUUGGUAAUACUUUGGUGGAACAUAUCCAGGUGUUCCUGCUAGUGUGCUUACACUGAGAUGUGUAUCAAGUGCACUUAUUAGUCUUGCCAUUCCGAAAUCCAAGACUCUUGACUCCAUUUCAUUGUCAAGUAAUACAUUGCUUGACUUCAUGUCUUUGUGUAUGAUGUGAGGGAUGCAAUUAUGAUGCAGAAAACAAAGUCCUUUAGCAGCACCUCUUGCAAUCUUCUUCCUUUCUUCCCAUGUUAAAAUUCGUCGAUCACAUGUCUUUAUUCUUCUGUGGAGCAUCUCUUCUAGGCUUCCAUAUUCCAUGUAUUCAUAAACAAGUAGCCUCUCUUCUCCUACUUUGCAGUAUCCCAAUAAAGGGACAAGGUUUUUAUACUUGAUUUUUUCUAAGGUUUCCAUCUUAGCCAUGAAUUCUCUAUCACCUUGGCAACUCAGUCGAAUGAGCUUCUUUAUCGCGACACAUGUUCCGUCUUUGAGUGUGGCCUUAAACACUUCACCAAAACCACCACAACCAAUGAGGCUUGCUGCUGAGAAGCCAUUGGUUGCUUCAAUCAACUGUGAGAAUUUAAGCUUUCUCAAUUACCUCUGAAAUGUUGCAAUAUUAAUGCAUAAUGGCUCUUUCUCUUUAUCAAUUUUCCAUGUUGUAGCAGCAUGACAUGCGAAUUGGAGAUGAACAUCCUCAUAAUUUUUCUACAACCACAUAUUGACAACUCAUUUGAUGAUGAUUGACAAAUGGAAUGAGAAUACAUUGUUCCAUGAAAUGAGUUUUUGGUGUUAGGGCGCAAAGCUAUCGAAGGGUGGGAAUGGCAGAAAUGAAGAAGAGAGAAAUAACAUAGUGAGGAAGAAGGUGGAAAUAAUAAGUUUUAAAAUUCAAAUUUUGAUGAUUAUGUUUUUUAUUUUCAUCCCUAUGUAAAUUUGCAUUUUUGGUUUUAGUCUCUCUAAUAACCAAUUGCCAACUCAUCAUAUGCCACAUAUUAGUCCGUUAGCCAGCGAAGCGUUUUUUUGACGGAAACGGACGGCGGGGACGAAUGUCAAAAUGUUAAGUAAAUACAGGGGUUGUUUCGCAACAAAAAAAGAUACAGGAACUAAAACAAAAAAUGCGCGAACUUACAGGGACCUUUUUCUUAUUUAAGCCUUAUAUAUAUAUUGUUCAUCUUCAAAAUGUCACGACGACAACGUAAAUUAAUGCGGCACUGCAAAAAUAAUAUCACUAAACACAAACUGAAACAAAUUUCUAGGGAGAUAUUCCUGAUGGCAGUUGCAUCGUUCAAGACAGAAGUAAUUGUUCUUUAACUUAUUUUCUAAAUACGCAUACAAUUGUAAAACACAGUCAAAUUUUAUUGAGUGAAAUUAUGGUUGGAACGUGAUGGAGAUUUCCAUUCCUCCAAUUCUCUUCGUACACCUCUCUUGUUGUACCCAAUUUCUUCGAAGGCCUUUAGGGAUGGUGCUGUUCGUUCAACGGUGUUACUGCCAAUACAAAAGAUUAACAGUGUUCAAUAAAAUCCUAUAUGUUAGGAAACAAAGUGCUGAAGAAGAAAAAUAAGCACAAUCACAAUAUAAGAAUAUAAUGUUAGGAAACAUGGUAUCCAUGAAAAGAAGGAGAGAAAACUAAGAAACUCUUUCUAUUGAUGAAAAUGGAAUAUUACAAAAUGAGAAAAGUACCCUCUAAUGGGGUGGUUACAAGUUAUUUAUACUACUCUCUACUAGGACUAAUAUGCUACUAAUCUAUAUCUCUAAUAGUCCCCCUCAAGUUGGAAGGUGUUCAAAACACUUCCAACUUGAAAUGAGAAAAUACAAGGAAAGAUGCCAGAAAUACAUUGGCCAAGAACAUAGCAACAAUCAAAGGCUUAUCCAACAAGAGGAAACCACAACUCAAGGUGUAAUCACCUUGGAGGAAGAAGCAGCAAACCAACGCUUAACCACCAUCCGGUAGAAGCCAAUCAUCAACAAAGCCUUAAAAGGCACAAUGCUUAACCAUCAAGAGUUCUCAAUAACUCAAGACAGAAGCACAAGAAGAAGAAGAAAAUGACGCUUAACCAUCCUUGGACAGAAGCACAACGACGCUUAACCAUUCAUGACAGAAGCUUAUCAACAUAGCUUAACCAUCAUGAACAGAAGCACAAGACAAGAAGAGUAAGGAUAUCUAAAAUCAAUGAUGAUCUCCAAAAGAAAAAGUGCAAGGAAGGGCCAAAGUUUACAAUGGAAGGAGGUCAUAUGUUGAACAAACUGCACAUCAAAGGUACCAUGAAGCAACAAGACCAAGGUUCCAAAGUUAAAAAAGAGAUGCGCUCCAAUGCCGAGCCGAGACAAGAAAAACCAAAUGCAAGCCAAUAGAGAUGCAUAGCCAUGUGAGGUGUCUUCAAACCAUAGAAAACAAAUCCAUGUUGAUGCAUUCAAACCAUAGGCCAACAAAUCAAUACUUCCAACAAUGAAGCUUAAGAAAAUACCAACAUAGCCAAAACCAGAAAAAAAAAAAUGCAGCAGUAAUGCUGCACAAAAUAAAACCAAAAUGCAGCUAAGAGACAUCAAAAUGAACUCAAGAAGAUGCUUUAACGGUCUGCCCAAAAAUUCAUCAACGAUCCAGGAACAAUCCCAUGCUUCAGAUAUCAAACCAAGGCUUCCAAAAACGAUCCUAAGCCAUCAAGAAAUAAAUCCAUAGCCAAUGAACAAAAUGCAGUAGCAAUAUGAAGCACUGUACUGUGUUGGAAUAGCAUGCAACACUAACAAAAUGCCUAAUCAGCCUCACAAUUUCAUUUGUUCCUUUCACACACAAGAAUAUAGAGAAACCAUCUGAACAGCUUGGAGUGUACUAAAGGCUUCUUCAAUUACUAUUCAAAAAAUGCUUGACCAUAUCAGAUCCAACACCAUGAUAAGCAAUCAAAUGCCAAACAAAACUUAGCCCACCAGUAUGCAAUAUCUAUAAGACUACCAAGUGUGAUAGCAACACCAUAAAAGAAACAAAGAAGUAUGCCAAAACCAAUGAUAUCCAAAGAGAAUGUAGAACAAACAACCAAGCUGUAAUUGGAUCCCAAAGAAUGCAUCAAAAAAACUAUACGUGAAAGGAAGAUCCUUACAUAACACUGCAACAACAUAGCCAUACACAUAAGUCUGGGUCCGCCAAUCUUCAAUCAUAAUAUAAGAGUACCUUAACAUGAACUGCUCCAAAAAUGUAGUAGUGAUGAAGAGGUUCACAAGAAAAUGCACGCAUAGACCAAUAACGUCAUGCAGCAGUCAACAACAGCACCUCAAAGCAAGUCCAAUGCAAUGUUGGAUCAGAACAAAUUGCAGUGUUACCAACAACCAUCACCAUCAAACUGAACGUAAUAUGCAAUAAGGACCAAAAAACACCAAAAUAUCAAGGUAAUAGAAUCCAACUCUAUCUGCACCACAUGCACAAUUGUAUACAACCAGAGAAAAUGAACUAAUUGCAGCCUUGUCUAAAUAGCAGAACAUAGAACUUCAUCAAAAGAAUCAUGAACCAAGAAUCAAUAUGUUUGCAGUGAGGACUUGCUACAAACAUCUUGUGAGCACAAUAGUCAUAAACUGCAGUUACAAUAAAACUCGCUUAUGAGAAACCGAAUUCUCAAUACAAUACAAUAAUGAAACAGGGAAGAAGAUGAAAUAUCAACGACACAUAGAAUCAAUGCGAAAAAGACGACUCUGAGCCGAAUCGAAAAUUUUAAUGAAGAGGAAUCGCAAAAAAAAAUAAAAUUGAAUCACGGAUUCGAAUCGAAACUGGAAAUUGCGAUCGAGUAAGAAUUCGAUCAAGACUUUUGAAUCACGUGGGAAAUUGAACCAAAACUAACAGAACAAAGAAGAACGAACAAAGAAAAUUGAUCGAGAGAGAAAAGGAAAUCGCCAUUGUAACUGAAUCGCAAACCCUAAGAUUUGGGAAAAAGACACAAACGGAAUCACGAAGCAAUCGAUCGAACAAAAAGAUGUAAAAGAAUCGAAUGAAAUUGAGAUGCAGAUCAAAAGAGAAAUCGAUCGAACAAAUCAAUAACAGAAAAACGAUUCGAGUACAAGACAAAGGAAAAUGAAGAAAAUGAAGUGAUAAAAGAGAAAAAUCAGAACGAAGAAGAAAAGGAAAACAACACGAGAAAAAUGAACUUUUCUCGAGAAAAUGCAGCGGAAAAAUUGUUCAAGGUGGAUACCAAUCAUGCUCUGAUACCAUGUUAGGAAACAUGGUAUCCAUGGAAAGAAGGAGAGAAAACUAAGAAACUCUUUCUAUUGAUGAAAAUGGAAUAUUACAAAAUGAGAAAAGUACCCUCUAAUGGGGUGGUUACAAGUUAUUUAUACUACUCUCUACUAGGACUAAUAUGCUAAUAAUCUAUAUCUCUAAUAUAUAACGUGGAAACUUUAAAACUGGAUAAAAAACCACGACCGUUGUCUAAACCGACAACCAGAAAAUGAUUACUAUGGGAUUUUUUUUACAACACAUAGACUUCUCUCACUCUCACCCCAAUGCUCCAGUACAAUCAUACUCUCACAAAGCAAAUAUUUAAACUAAGUCAGAUAUAAGCUUAAAGUGCUACUGACUGGUGCAUCUACAAACAAAGAACCUAGGUCCAAUAUAUAGUCAUGGUCCUCCCAUUGCUUCACCACACUAAGCGAUGUAGGACUUUUCCAAUAGCAAAUAUUUUUUAACCUCCUUAUUUAUUUAAGAAACUUGACAAUCAAACCCAACAAUCUCCACCUUGAUUGUACGAGUUUCAUCUUUCGCUUCCAUUGUUUAUACUGACAAUCAUACUCCACCAUAAAGAGUAUACUUCACUUGAAACUAGACCUUUCCAAGAAUUUCUCCACGUCAAAACCUUGCUGAAAGAUUACGGUGCAACUCCCAUGUUGGAUUUCAGGAAGUUCUUCAGCCAUCGACACAUCUCACCACACACCUUGCAUUAAUUAAUUUCUUAAACAAUUUAUAAUUAAUUUGUAUCUCGUUUAAAGACUACAAAAUUUCAUUGUGAAGGUUCUUAUCAUGUUCUAGUCAUGCCUACAAAAUUAGGGAACUAAAUUUGACUUGUGAGUAUACGCUUACGCGGAACAAAAUUUCAAUUUUGCAUGUUUUGAUUGAAAAAUCAAAAUAAAUUUAAACGACUUCGAAAUGCAAUGAAACUUUACAGAUCCGUUUUAUGUAUUUUUUUAUAGAUGUCUAUGCAAAUAAUGAGCUCAAAAUUCGAUUUAUAGGUCGAGAUUUCCAUUGUUUUGUUUUUUGAGCUUUUGACACUUUAAAAAUUCAUAAUUAAUUUGUCGUAUGUCGAAAAUUUAUAUAUUUUUAGUGUAAAGCCAUAUUUUAACAUUCUUAACUCGCCUCUAACAAAUCAUGAAAAAAAUUGAAUCUCUCGGUUUCUUUUUUGGACUUCGCAUAUAUUACAGAGUUAUAAAUAAUAAAAAUCUUGAGUUACAUGGUAAGAAUACAUGUUAUUUAAUUACAGGGCCAAUUUUCAGACUUCACGUAUAUUAUAUGAUCAAUUUCAAUUAAUAAUCUUAUUUUAAAUUGUACUUUUGUUGACUAAAUGAUAAAACCUAUUUUAUUUCGAUUUUUUUAAUUAAAAUUAAAAUUAAAAAAAAAGUUUCAAUUUAUGAUUGUUGAUAUAUUAUGUCGCAUGUGAAUUUGCGAUAAAUUUUUUGCCCAAUCUCCAUAAAUUUCCAGACUCCGCCACUGUAUAGUACCUACUCAAAGAAUACUUGUUAUCAUCCCUAAUUGUGCGCUAACACUCCUCAAUUCAAAAUGACAUAAUAGCAUGCUUGUUGAGGAAAAAUUAUUGCCUUUAUUAUAACAAAAUUAGUUAAUUUUUUUUUUGAGGAAAACUGAAUUAGUUAGUGAAAAUUAAGUAAAAGACUAUGAAGAUAAUUUAAAUUUAUACAAAUCGUCACUUGACCAAUCUUAUUGCAAUAAAUUAAUAAAACGUCAUUUCAAAAAGAUUUGUGGCUGAUCCUUAAAAAAUAAAAUCAUUCCGUGACAAUUUUUUUUAUUCUUUUUCAAAUCUUUACUCUAAAUCUUCAUCUGUCACACACAACUAACUCAAACAUCCAUAGACGUGCAAUCAAUCUCAAUGAAAGAUUAGACUACAGGGUCUUUUAUUAAUACUCUUUGUGUACACAAAUUGAAUUCACUUAAAUGUUGUUUAAAAUUCUAAUUUUAGAGUUUACAUGAAAUGAAAGAACAUAUGUUGACUCACUUAUUGUAACCUUACAUGAAAUAAGACAACAUAUAUGUAUGCAUUGUUUUAAAAACAUUGAAGAUAAACUGAAUUUACGUAGGGUAUAUAAACUGAGUUUGCAAAUUAUACAACUCUACGUAAAUUAAGAUAGAGAAUGGAGAGAGAAAAAGGAAGAUAGAGAAUAAGAAGAUAAUGUGAGUAUGAGAGAGAAAGUUGUUAAAAUGUUUUUUUAAAGAAAAAAGUUGUUAAAAUGUUGUCACAAAGUGGAUGUACAAAUAUCAUUUCUCUAUAUAAAAUAUACAAAAUAUAUGGAGGAUUAUUGAUAAAAAAAAACAUGGGGAUUAAUUAUUGCUAAGAAUAAAUUAUUUUGAAAUACUCCCCUAUUUUUUUUUUUAAAUUCUCUUGACCAAAUUUUUCUUUUUUUAAAAUUCAUUGAAAUAAACCAAAAACAAAUACUCCAUUUCUAACAAAAAUAUAGACAUAAAGAGGAUCAAAGCGUCAAAUAGUCUUGCCCUCAAUUUUUUUUACUUUUAGAACAUCUUUUGUUUAUGUUUUCGUUACAAAGAGUAUGCAAAAUUAGACUGACUUAUUUUAAUUCAUUUAUAUAUAAUAUAUGGUAGUAUUUGUGAUAAUGUUUGUUAGAACCUAUGAAAAUAAUUUAUAACAUCUAAGUUUAGUUCCAUAAUUUUACAGAAUAGUUUAUAGAAACAACUUAAAAAUAUAUUAAAUAUAAAUGUUUUUUUUUUGUUUUAAAAAAGUAUAUAGAAAUAUUUAUAUUGAUAAGCUUAUAAUAUAUAUAUAUUAUGAAGUAAAAACAUCCUUUGUAUAUUAUAAACGAUUAAUUAUUUUGUUUAUUCAAAUAUGACCUCCUAUAUUAUUUUUUUUUUUGUUGGAAAGACGUCUAAAAACUAAUCAUUUUUGGUGGUGGUCGGGGUUCAACCCAGUAUAUAUUAUGCAUUGUUCCUACCCACUGAGCUAAGCUCAUGAUGACCCAAAAACCAAUCAUUGAUACACGAUAUAUAUAUAUAUAUAUAUAUAUAUAUAUAUAUAUAUUGACAAAAAUAAAUGAUAUGCAUUCAUUCAAAUUGAUAGAGUUCAUCGAUACAAUACUAAUUCGAUAAAAAGAAAAAGAAUGAAUUUGCGAACAAACUCAUAACAUCCAUGUUAAUAUCAUAAAACAACAAAGUACAAAAACAUACUUAUAUGACUAUAUUCAAGUAUCCGGAAUACCCAUGUCUCUAGAUCUGCAACGUGGACGACGCAAAGUCAUAGAUUGAAUCUGCACUGGUCGAAGCGGAUAUGACAAUCUAAACCGAACAAAUACCUGCAUGAAACAAAUAAGACAAACAAUGUUGCACAAAGACGACGAACAAACCAAUGUCGCACUAUGACGGCGAAAUCACAAAAUAAAAAACAAAAUAGAUGUGAAAAUCACUUAUUUCAAUUAAAAGAAAAUAAAAAAGCGAGUUAGAUGGGUGAUUUAGGGUUAAAAACUGACUCUAAAACACCUCUACUUGAUAGAUGAGGGAGAAGAAACUAGAGUUUUGGUGACGGCUCACAAGAAAGAAAAAGAAAAGAGAAAUUUAUAUAACGAUAUAGGUAUCUCUAAGUAAAUUUGUUAAAAAAAAAAAGUGUCACUAAGUAAAACAUAGAUAAAAUAAAGAGAACCAAUAUGGAAAUAUAUAAAAAAAUGCAAACAAAUAGAAGACUAUAGAUAUGUUAAAUAAAUUUUUAGUUAUAAUUUAUUAAAUAAAAAUUUUAUUAAUUUAAUUUGUCAAAAAUAAAACCUUAUUAAUUUAAAUUGACUAAAAAAUGAGUGAUAAUGUGUCAACAAAAUUCACUAGAAUCCCUAGUCGUCACCCAUUUCUUCUUCUUGUCUAUUGAAGAUGAAUGAUUUAGGGUCAAUUCUAACCUAAAAUCACCCAUCCGAAUUGUUUUUCUUUCUUUUCUAGUUGAAUAAGUGAUUUCCAUAUAUUUUUUUAUUGUUCUUUCGUUUGUUUUUGUGAUUUCAUCGUCUUUGCAUGACUCUGUUUAUUUUGAUUUUCCAUCUUAAUGUCGUGUUUAUUUGAUUGAGGUUGAAAUAUUAGCUUUGAUUAGGUGCAAAUCCGAAGACAUGAGUAUUCCAGAGAUUUGAAUAUAGUCAGGUUUGUAGGCAUAAAUACUUUGCAGUUUUAUGUUAACAUGAAUGUUGUGAUUUAUCCUUUUUGUUUUUAGAGACUUUAAAUUUAUAUUAUAUCGAUAUACUCUAUAAAUUAAAAUGAAUGAAUAUCGUUUAUUUUUUUUAAAAAAAGUCAGCAGAAUUAAAAUACUAUGAUUUGCUAAUUUGCUCAUUCACCUAUAUUGUUUAGUUGGUUUAUAUUAGUAAGUUGGAAUAUAUUAUUAUCCAUGAGAUCAUAUGGUUUACGUACUGAUUUAUCUUAUAUUAUUUUUUUUGAAAUAAUUUACAUUAUAUUACUAAAAAAAUGGAAUCGUAUUGGUGGCAUAUGAACUGGGACCGUCAUUGCUGUAUUAUCAUUGCUAUAUGUAGUUUUUAUUUCAUAUGCUUGGGCCUAUAUUAUAUGGUCAGACUGUAUUAUAUUUGGAUCUUCUUACAGGUAAGCUGACUUUUAUAAAAUUUGAAUCAUUAAGAAGGUAACGUUUUCCAUAGGACAAACAUGAGUUACUAUAAUUAGACAUUAUCAUUCCUUUGUUUUUUUCGGAUAAUUUUUUAUAAAUUCUUCUUAUUUCACAUAUAAUAUUUUUUACAUUUCCCUCCCUCUCUACCUCCCUAUAAAUAGCUUGCCAAUUCCAUCGUUUCCUCAUACCAAGUUCAAUAAUCAAAAAUCAUCAUCCAAUAAUAAGAUGAAGAUUAUUCACAUAGUUUUUCUUUUCUUUUUUCUUUCAUUCACUACUUCCCAAGCUUCUGUCAAUGAUUUUUGUGUAGCAGAUUUAAAGGCUCCAGAUACCCCUUCAGGCUAUCAGUGCAAACCCCUAGCAAAUAUCACAUCAGACGAUUUUGUCUUUCAUGGCUUCGUAGCCGGAAACACCAACAACUCUUUCAACGCUGCACUUACCUCCGCAUUCGUCACUGAAUUUCCAGGCCUUAACGGACUAGGAAUCUCAGCAGCGCGGUUAGACAUAGCCGAAAAUGGUUCAAUUCCAAUGCAUACUCAUCCCGGUGCUACCGAAUUAUUGAUAAUAGUUCAAGGUGAAAUAACCGCUGGAUUUCUGACACCUACCUCAGUUUAUUCUAAGACGUUGAAACCGGGUGAUCUUAUGGUUUUUCCACAGGGGAUGUUGCAUUUUCAAAUUAACACUGGUAAGGGAAAAGCUACUGCUUUUCUUACAUUUAGUAGUGCUAACCCUGGUGCUCAAUUACUUGAUCUUCUUUUGUUUUCGAAUAAUUUACCUUCUGAAUUGGUGGCACAAACUACUUUCCUUGAUCUUGCACAAGUGCAGAAGCUAAAGGCACGUUUUGGUGGAAGAGGGUAGGGAUAUGAUAUUGUUUGGUCAUGAUCAUAACCCACUCUCCUUGUGUAAAUGUUUAUUCCAAUAAUCACCUAGUGGUGGAUUUGAUUGUGUGUGUGUGUUAUUUUAUUUUAUUCUAUGUUUUAGCUAUUCCAAAUGUUAUGAUAUAUGGUUACUUGUGAUAAUGAAGUAAUAAAUUGUGUGUGAUACAUUUCUUGGUUCCUCUUUCUAUCUCUCAACCUGUCUCCUAAUUUUUUGUUGAAUUAUGGCAACAUUUAAAAUUGAAUUGAAGAUUGAAUGAGCACGACCUGGAGAUUAUGAUUUAAUUAGGUCAAUCACUUGAAUCACAAUUGAACUAAAUGAUUAAUCUAUAAAUAAAAAAAGUAAUUGCAAAAACAAAUCUUAUUAAAUUAUUACGAUUCAAUUGGUUCAACCUUAUUCAAAAUGACUUCGAUGCGACUAUGAUUUCUAACCCAUUUUAUUUUAGAUUUAACUAGUUGAACUAAUAAUUCAAUAGACUAUGCAACUUAGACUUAUUUACCAUUUUUGGGUGUUAGAAGUUAGAAAAUUUUACAUGAUGUGGAUAACAUCAGAAUACAAUUCAAAGUAGUGGGCUAUAAUUUAUUCAUUAAAACCUUACUUAUAUAUCAACAAGAAAAAUUAUUCGUAAGACGAUUGAGUCAGCCUCUACUUGGUAGUUGGUUCUAAUCUCAUUGCCAUUGCUUCGGUGCAUCAACCUUAAGAGUGUGGAAACCAUAAAUUGGUUUGCGAGUGCGCAAAAUCGUGGAAUUGCUAAAGUACUAAGAUGAUCAAUAUUAAUACAUUCGAGUUUUUUCUAGAGUUCUUUGGCUGAUGACAGAUUCUGCACAUUCGCAAGAACAUUCUUUGCCAAACAUAGACGAAUCGCACUUGUAACUCUCAAAUCUAGUCCCUCCCACUUAUCGGCCUCCAUGUUGGAAGUGUUUCCUUUCAGCGCCUUGUGUAAUUCUGAUUGUUUCAACACAUACUUGACUUGUGCUUUCCACAAGUCAAAGUUGAUUAUUCCAUCAAACUUCUCUAUGUCAAAUUUGAUUGCGCAUGAAUAAAACACAUCAGCUGCACAGUACCACCCUUCUUUAGCACCUUCACAAUAUCACUUUUUUUUUUUUUAUGUGAAGAUCAGACAAUGCUGCAACCACAUAACAUACUAAGACUUAUGAUAUCUCACCAACCAGAAGCUCUUGAUACAACUGUUAAGAAAUAACAGAGCUGAAGAAGAAAAAUAAGCAUAAUCAUAACACAAGAAUAUAACGUGGAAACUUCAAAAUUGGAGAAAAAAUCAUGAUCGUUGUCUAAACCGACAACCAAAGAAUUAUUACUAUGUAAUUUUUUUUACAACACAUAGACUUCUCUCAUUCUCACCCCAAUGCCCCACUACAGCAUCACUCUCACAAAACAAAUAUUUAAACUAAGUCAGAUAUAAGUUUAAAGUGGUACUAAUUGGUGCGUCUAAAAACAAAGAAAUCUAGGUCCAAUACAUGAUCUUGUCUUUCCCAUGCUUCACCAUACUAAGUGACGUAGGACUUCUCCAAUAGCUAACAAUUGAACCCAACACUAUAAACUUGACAAUCAGAUUCAAAUGAGAAGAGAGAGAAAAUAAGGGUCAAAAGAUUGAACCAAUUGCAGCAAAAAAUCCAUUUUAUAUAGUUGUGUCCAAACAAACUAAAUUACUUUUUUUUUUUUUGAUAAAAAAAAAAUAAUUUUUAUCACGGUAAACAAACGUAAAAUAAAUUCUGAUUUUUUCUUUAUAAAAUCUCUAAAAAAUAAUUUUUAAAUUAUUCAAUGUAAAAAUCACUUUUAUCUUAAUCUAUAACAAGAGACUCUUAUUAGUUUAAAAUACGAAUAUAGAAAAAAAAAUACAUUAAAUUGUGAAUUAUUGUAGAAACCCCAUGUAUCAACACGUCAACUAGCUAACGGAUGUCUAUAUAUGUCUGUAUAUGCCUAGUUUGAACUUCAUUUAUAGGUUUUAAUAAAAUAUUAUUUUUGUUCUCAAUUAUUGUACUGUUUUAAAAUUUACUUUUCACUAAAAAAAAAAAUAGUAAAAGACUACUAUUAGACCAUUUUUUAGAGGUUCAUACUAGGUAUAAGUUACAAGUUAGUUGUGUGUUACGAGUUUUUGUGUUGUAAACAUAAGUUACAAAGUUCAAAUAUCAUAUUCUUCAAUUAUUUUUUUAAUUUUUAGUUUUGGUAAUAGUGGACCUUUUUUUUCUUCAAGCAAUUCAAGGUUUAAUUAGAAUUUCAAUAUUCAGAUGAAUAAGUGAGAAAUCUAAGUCUAAAGACCCACUUUUGAUAUAUAAUACAAUGUCUUUACCGACUGAGCUAGACUGAGGAGAAUAAUUUCAUUUAUAAUUCUUUUUCAUCUUCUCCAUAAUACUUUUUUUCUUCCAUAUUGGUCUUUUAAUCUCAAAUAAAAUAAAGUCUUGUGUCAAUCGACAUUCUAUUCUCAUCUCAACUCUAAACCUUCCAAAAUUAAGUUAACAAGAAAUUUAGUUUUUCAAUUUUGUAUAAGUUAAAAUUUCCCCCUUUUAUUAUAUUUCAUAUAAAUAAACAAUUUAAGAAUUUAAUGUUUAAUUUUAUAUAAAUAAAGAACACAUAAUUUGGUAAGUCAUUUCUCAUUUUUGUAAGUAUUUCCAUAUAAUUUUUGCAUGAUCUGAUCAUGUCAUGCACUGUAAUCAAACACCACCGUUUACAUGGAGUAUAAUUUAGAUAAGUUACGUGUUAAAUAAUGACGAGAGAUCAGCAGAGAAUACUGAAUAGCAUGACCGUCAAUUAUUGAUAUCUAUGCAUGCAUGAGUGUUUGUGUCAUGACUCAUCAUCUUCCUUUCUUUACCUUUAUGAAGGAGAGUCACCUUUAGCCCACCAGGUUGUGUAGGGUGAUCUUGUCUCCUGAUUCUCAUGGUUGAUUGUGAUCUUGUUGAUAAUUUAUUAGGGGACUAAUUAUCAAUAUUAAUGCUUAUAUAAACUAAUGUUAAAAGCUUGGUAUCCCACUUAGGUUGACCUAGUGGUAUUGGUUUGGGAUCUGGGAGUGUGCUCCUCUUUAAAGUCUCUUAAAAAAAAUGUUACAAGCUUGUUUUGAUAUCUGAUCGUGCGAUUUUGGCUCUUAUUUUUUGAGCCAUUUUGACACAUAAAAUUUUUUACUCUUUGUUUUUCAACGUUAAAAACUAUCAUUUUUACCGGCAAUUUAUCCUUUAUCCUUUAUCUUUCUAUAUUUUGUUUUUUUACUGGCCUUUCAUUAGGUUAAUAGUUUUUGAAACAUCCAUGAUUCAUAUUUAACAUUAUUUGAAGAAGUUAAGAAACUCGUGAGGCAUAGUUGCUUUCUUUCUUUAACUUGAUUGCUUUUUAAAAAAGAAAAUUUUGUUGAAAACUAUUAGUCAAACUAUCACACCACUUCCUAUAUCUUACACCAUUCGGUCACUAUUAAUAGAUUAUAUAUAUCAUUUAUUGAAUGAACCUAAAAAAUAUAUUUUUAUUUAUAAUAUUAUAAUAGUGACUGGAAUGUGUAAUAGAUAUUUUAUAUUGUCUCAUUUAUUUUCUUUCAUUCUUUCUUCCAAUCCUUGCAAGAACAGCUCUAUAUAUAUAUAUAGCUAGCCAAUACCAACGUUCCAUCAUACCACAUCUAUCUAAUCAUUAACAAUCAUCAUCCAAUAAUAAGAUGAAGAUUACUCCUAUACUUUUCCUUUUCACUCUCCUCUCAUCCACCACUUCCUAUGCUUCUGUUCAUGAUUUUUGUGUAGGAGAUAUAAAAGCUCCAGAAACACCUACAGGCUAUCACUGCAUGCCUCUUGCAAACAUCACAUCGGACGAUUUCGUCUUUCACGGCUUUGUAGCCGGAAACACUAACAACUCUUUCAACGCUGCACUUACCUCGGCGUUUGUCACCGAUUUUCCAGCUCUUAACGAUCUUGGAAUCUCCGCGGCGCGGUUAGACAUAGCAAAAGGCGGAUCUAUUCCAAUGCAUACUCAUCCUGGCGCUACCGAAUUAUUGAUUAUGGUUCAUGGUGAAAUAACUGCUGGGUUUCUAACAACUACUGCAGUUUAUUCAAAAACGUUGAAACCGGGUGAUCUUAUGGUUUUUCCCCAAGGGAUGUUGCAUUUUCAAGUUAAUUCUGGUAAGGGAAAAGCUACUGCUUUUCUUACUUUUAGUAGUGCAAAUCCUGGUGCUCAAUUACUUGAUCUUCUUUUGUUUUCCAAUAAUUUACCUUCUGAGUUAGUGGCACAAACUACUUUUCUUGAUCUUGCUCAAGUGAAGAAGCUAAAGGCUCGGUUUGGUGGAAGAGGUUAGGUAUAUUAGGAUAUUAUUGCUUAUGAUCAUACUCAACUCUUUCUUGUAUUGUUUGUUCCAAUAAUUCAUCACCUUUAAGUGAUGCAUUUGUUUGUAUGUGUACGUGUGUGUUUUAUUUUAUUGAUUUCUAUGUUAUACCUAUCUCAAAUGUCAAGAUAUGCGGUUGGAUGAUUUAGCGAGCAAGCUACUUAUAUUAAUGAAACAAUAAAUUGUGUCACACAUUUCUUGGUUCAUGUCUCUCUUUUUUGACUUCUAUCCUUUUAGCUAUGGGCAAUGACUAUAGAUGACGAUAUUAAUGUUUGUAAAAUUGAAUCAAUUAGUUCAAUCGGUUCAAUUAUAAGACCAUCUUUAAUGAUACACUCUUAAUCUUUUAAGAUCCGGUGCCUAUCAGGUAUCCUAUUGAAGAGAAUUUUUUCGAGGUCUUACAAGACCUGAGGUCUCGCUUAAGACCCUCAUUCUUAAGUGGGAUCCACACAUUUUAAAUAUUAAAUUUUUUGGGUUAAUUAAGUUUUUAGUCCCUAUAAAUAUUCACAGUUUUGUUUUUAGUCCCUACAAAAUAAAAUCACACUUUUUAGUCCCUGUGACAUUUUCCUUAAGCAUUUUAGGGAUUAAAAAUGUUGAUGGAAAUUUUUUAUAGGGACUAAAAAUGCUGACGGAAAAUUUUAUAGGGACUAAAAACAAAAUUGCAGAUAUUUAUAGGGACCAAAAACUUAAUUAACCAAAAAAUUAAUAUAUAAUGAUAUAAAGUUAUCGAUAGUUGAUUAGUAAGUCUCAUUUAAGAAAUUUCUAUGAGAUGCUGGGUUGGAGGGAUUAAGUUCUUAUUAGAUACUACUAUGAAACAAUUAUAAAUAAGUGAUAUCUAUACAUGAGACUCAUUUAAGUAUAAAAAAACGGAUGUCUCUAUUGUGGAUGCUUUAAUUGAACUAAAGAACUAAUAGAAAUUGUGAAAUACUACAUAAAUAUACAAAAUUAUGAAAUCUGAUUGAAUUAGUCGAAAUGCAAUUACUAUCCUCUAAUCAUUGUUAUGAAUAAAUUUGCAAAUUUUCAUUUUUUAAGUUCAUUAAUGAAUUGAUGUAUCUAAACUAUAGUCCAACAACACGAGUUAAUGAAUGAACUUGAAAGAGUGAUUGGAGGGAGUACAAUCCCUCCAAUUGAAUAGGUUCAACUUGAUUCACAACAAAUUUGAUUAGAGUAUGAUUCAAACAAGAUCAUAGCAGGGCGAUUCUCUAUUUAGUUAGUUUAACCAACUUAUUUAGUCAAAAAAUUUAAACACACAGGGAUAACUGUAGUUGUUUAUGUUAUUAUAUUUGCAAUAAUGUGAUAUUCGAAAUAUUAUUUUAUUCCAAAGUAGGCCCAUGACGCGUAUUUGAUGUGAAAUAAAGCAAAAAGAUAUUGAAUUAAAGCUGAUUUUGCCCCUUUCAUUUCAUUCAUAUAAAAAAAGAAAAAGAGAGUUGGUUUUGAACCUCCCUAAAAAAGGAAAUGGUUUAAAUUUGUUCUAACAAAUGUGCUCUUUGAAUUAAAGCUGAAGAUAACGUUUGGACGAAAAAGUUAAAGUGGCAUGCAUGCAGGGGCGUUGUGUGUGUGGGGUGGUGGGCGAAACAUUACUCCCUUCGUCAAUCAAAUACAUUAAUUUUUAUUGACCAUUUUUUGUUUACGUUUUGGGAUGGAGGGAGUAUUUAUGAAGUCUUUAAAAGAAACAAACUUAAUAGAUAACUAAAAGAAUAUUUGAUACUGGCUUGUGAGGUGAUAAUUGCUCCCAUUUAUAAAUAUAUUGUCAGACCAUCUCCUAUUCGAUACGAGACUUUUAACACAACCCCUCUCAAUCAGCACUGUUAAACUUGGUUCCUGGACAUAAAUGGUGGGUGGUUUGAUAGCGAAAACCUGAUAGCAGGUGGCCAAAUGAAUCUUAAUAAGGCUACUGUUGAUAUUGACUUCAAAUUUGUGGUCUGGAAGAACAGAGAAAUAGUGACACGAUUUUGGCAUCGUGACACGAUUUCAAGGGAGCCAUGAGCUAGUUUGCAGGACGCCAAAUCGUGACACGAUCUUGGAAAAUCGUGACACGAUUCAGAAACUUGCUCGUUAAGUAUCCCUGAUAAGGACUUGUCUACCUUGGAUCAGAUGCAAAUCGUGACACGAUCUUGGGAAAUCGUGGCACGAUUUCUUCAGAGGAAGACUAGUAUAUAUUGUGUUCUUGUGCUUUUUUGAAAGAGAGCUUGGAAGAGCUUAGAGAGAGAACUUGGAUAGCAAAGGAGGGAACCAAUGGGUUGAGUGUCUUUGUUGAGAGUGUCUCUUGGGUUGGGAAAAACAUUGUAAUCACCUUGGGUUUUAGGGUUCAUAUUGUGAGAGUGGGGAAACACCAAAGGGUAGAAUAUAGGGUUUGUUCAUGUGUAAAGCUUGAAGGCUAGAGUUCUUGUAACCUUUUGUAACACUUUCUCAUAUUGGAUUGGAGAGCUGCUCUCUCCCCCAGAUUAGGCCAUAUUGGCUGAACUGGGUCAACAAUCUUCUCGGUGUUUUGUUCUUCCUUUUAUCACUUAUCUUGUUUAUGGUUUGUUAUCUCUUUGUGUGGUUUUGCUAUACACUAGUCUAGGGCUGCUUUGUUGUUGUUUGUUUGGAGACCAUUUGUUCUCAUUGAUUACCACUAUCUCUUGCUCCACACAUCAAUGUUUAUUUCAUUGGUGUGAGUUUGGAACCGGAUUCACAACAGCUACAAUACCAUCUUAAAAAUCGAGGUUGGAUCUAACACAACCUCACAAAAAUUUAAAUUUAAAAUCAUCCAUUUCUCUACACUCACUAGACUAUUUGUCAAAAAAAUAAAAAGAAAGAAAAAUAUAUGUAGAUAGCUUUACCUAUAUUAGUUAAAUAUUUUUAACCUACACUACUUUCAAAUUGCAUCAUGACAUAAAAAACCCGUAUUGUGUUAUUUUCAGUCUCUUUCUUCCUUGAUUUUUUAUUAUUUCAAAUGAUAUAUAAAAUUUAUUUAAUAUCCAAGAUAUGGGAGUGACAUCGUGAAGAUUUGGAAGUUCAAAUGAAGGAUAUAUAUAUACAUGGGACUUCACCAUUGAUUUUUUCUUAAAAAUAUCGACCUAGAUGUCAAGGAAACAAAACCACGAAUCAAUUUGAUCCUUAUUAAUUCAAAUGGACAGAACUUAACAUGUUUCUUGGAUUACUUGAUUCAACAAGCAUAUUCUCAUUCUACACGAUUAAUAGAUAUAGGAAAAUUCUAUGGUGAAGUCAUGCAAAUGAUUUUCUGGUGACGUUAAAUGGUGAAUCAUUGAUCAUUUGUGCGUUUAAUUCAUGUCACGUCAGAUUAUAUGGCGUAUUAGACAUUUUCCCAUAAGAUGUAUUAUUAUAUCUUUACUUAUUGCAAUUGUAUUCCUGAUUAAAUCAAAAUUAGACAUAGAUUUUCAUUUGUGCACUAAGAUUGAAAUUCCUCUUAAUAUUUUGUAUGAGGAUUGAUUUGUAAUAAGAUAAAGUUUAGUUUUAGAGUGGUUCACAAACAGGACACUAGUUGAUAUGACAUCGACAGUUAUACUAUUGCCUAAACAAAAUAAUUUUUUCAAAAAAGUUAAUUUUCUAACUGCACCGUAGAAGUUCCCUAUUUCCGAUUUCAUCUAGCUUCAAAAGUUAUUAAUAGAUCUUCUAUUGCUUCAAAAGAUAAGUUUUAUUUAUUUAUGAAAUGGAACAGUGGCAUAUGGUGAUGAACAUAUGAUUGGAAUGUGAAGUUCGAAUGAAAGAGUUUCUUUUUUUUUUAUUUUUUUUUUAUAUACCGUCAAAUGAAGGAUAUAUUUGUGUAUGACUUUAUAUGGGAAAAUAGGGUUAUCAAACCCACGUAUUUACCAACCAAACUGAAUGUUUGUAAUUGUUUUAGUAUUUGAGGCAAAAGAGUUCUGAAAUGAAGCGACAAAGAUAGAAUUCAAAUCUCACCACAAUAACAAAUUGACUAUAUAUAUAUAUAUAUAUAUAGGCUUAGAUAUUUUGCUGUUAAUGCUAUUAACAUGGAUGAUGUGAUUUUGUUCCACAUUCAUUCUUUUUUGUUAUUGGUAAAUUUGAAUUUGUAAUGCAUCGAUGUACUCUAUCAAUUUUAAUGAAUGAACAUCGUUUAUUUUUUAGUAGAAAAGAAACUCCUUAUAGCAUCCGUUCACUCGUUCCCUUUUCAACAAAUCUUGCCAAGAUUUCUAAUAAAAUUAAUGAAAGAUAAUUUUUUAUCACACCUUACUUGUUUCUUGCACGUUCUCUUAUCGGAAUUUAGAUUUUACAUCAUGAAAGUGUAAAACGCGUUUUAAUAAACCCUCUAUUUUUUAGAUUUUGUAAUCCAAAAGUAAGGCGCGUGAGAAGGUCGGAAGAUGCAUGAAAAAAUAGGUUCUCUUAAUUUGGAUUUUUUUGUAGGACUUCCACUUGUUAAAAAGUAAUUAUAACAAGAAUAAUCAAGCAGAGUAGCAGACAAAACCACCACAUCAACUUUCAAUUUAUUUUUAACCAUAAACAUAAACAACAUAAUGCAAACUUCUUGCUUAUUAUGAUUUUCUAGUCAAUGAUAUGGUAACAUUAACGGAAUUCAUUCUCUCCUUGGAUAUUUGAUCAAUCAAUAAUUCCUUAUAACGGCUAAAAACUUCUUCAAUGAUAGCUUCACCAAAGUGACUAACUAGCAAAGGUUCAACCACAGCUCUAAUGCACCCUGCAACAUCAUAUUCAUUAUCAUAAUCACUUUCAUCAUUAGAAGUAUUUGAUUCUGUUUCAAACAACUCAAUGUGAUUGAUGACAAACGAUCCUUCAUUGACAACUUCCAAUUCCACUUCAUUCGGAGACGGAUAAUAGUGCGGGAUGUUAAAAGUAUUCACUUGAUCUUCCCUUAUAAUCCCCUGUAGCAUACAAUAUUAAGGACAAACACAAAUAAUUUUCCUAUAUAACUCAUUUUUCAUAUAGGAAAAUGAUGUCUAUACCUGCAACACCAUAUCAUUAAGAGCAGUAGCCAAAAAAUCCCAAUCGUCGCAACAAUAUUCCACGUCACAUGGAUCUUCAUUUCUUCUUCCAACCAUCGUUAGAACAAUGCGACCCCCUUCAACCAAUUCCUUUGCGCGACACUUGAGAAAAAUCGACAAGUCUCUUUGAAAUUGCUCGUAGUAAGCCUUGACGACAUUUGAGGGACUUGUGUCGCUGAUGUAAAUGUUACCCUUAUUGUUAUCUAUACCUUCGGGAACCUAAUUAACCAAACAAAUAAAAAUCAAUUAGACAUAGGUUCAUAUAUGUAUAUCAUAUGUUUGCAUCUAUAGAUUCAAUCGUGUGCUUGCAUGUAUGUAUAUCACUGCACUACAACAUAAUUGACAUUUAAUAACACUUGAAAAUUGUUACUGAAUCAUGAAAAUGUUACUAAUUAAAUUGUUUACUAGCUAGUCUAUACGCGAUGAUAUGAGUAUUUAGAUAUACAAACUAAUUAUUUUUAAUUAAAUAAAAACUUACUCCCUCUGAAAUGAAUCAAACAAGGGCACCUGAUGAGUUAAUUUUUGUGAGCCAAAUUUUUAACCAGAUGCAUUGAUUUUUCAACCACCGCUUUAAUUUGUUUAUAUUUUAUUUCAGAAGAAGUAUUUUAUAAGAUUCUACGUAUAUUUGUGUGUACAAUCAAAUGGAAAAUGACAAUAUGAAAAUUAUGCAUAAGCGAAAAACAACUUAGGACAAUAAUUUAUAUCUAGAAGUGUUGAUAAAAAACGAUUGAGGGGAAACUCUACAAACUCUAUCGAACAUUUUCAGGACAUAUUAUAUCAUAUUAUAAUUUUCUUAGAGAAACAAGGUGUUUCCAGGGAUAUCAAUUAAGCAAGAGCAUGUGUAAAUAUACAAGAAACACAAUAUAAUUUUUUCAGAUAAUAAUAUAAACCUUUGAUAGCCAGUGAAGACUGUAAGAGCAGUGGACGAAAUGCAGACUUCGAUCAGGAAAAACUCUAUCAUAGAAAGAACCAGGAACACCAAAGAAGUAGCAAGGGCUCAUUUCAGUUUUGAUUUCAUCAAGUAGUUUAUGUUUAAAGCUAUCAAGUGACUUAAAAAUGUUGUUGAAGUCAUUCCCUGAAAGAUCGUUAAAAAAGAUCUUGUAUUCGGGAGAUGCAUAUUUCAAUUGUUGGCAAAGCUUCUCCACAACCAUGAUGAUUUCUGACACCACAGACAAAGUGUUUUGUCCACAAGAACAACCCAGAUCUGCAAUUGCAAGGCUUCUGGGAAGUGUGCUGGAGUAGAGGCUAGUUAUGGCUUCCUCUCUUAUAUGUUUUGUUAAAGAAAUUCCCUUUCCCUAUAAUGACAUAAAAAGAAAAUGUUUAGCACGGCGCGAGACAUUACAAAUUACCAAUUAUUUUCAAUGCAAUCAUUGAUAUGUUGUUGGAUUGAAAAGCUAAACUCUAAGUGUGAGAUGAAUAACAAUGAGAGAAUAUGAAUGAAAUUAUAUAAAGUGGCGUAAUCCUAUGUAUAGAGAGGAUUUAAGCUAACUAACUAAGGUUACUUGACUAACAAGUAAAUCAUGUGAUAAAGUUAAUUUUUAUCUAACUAACUAACUAAAUCUUAUCCGACUAAUUCCUAGUUAGUGUAAGGUAUAUAUAUACAUAAUAAAAUCUAAGCUUAAAUAUGUAUUUCAUCUUGCAAUUAGAGGUCGUUUAAAAAUUGAUCUCUAUAUUCGCUAAUCCUUGUAAACUAGCCUUGCAUUCUUUAAUCAUUUAAAAUUUCAUCCUUUGACCCAGUUAAUCACUGUCAGAUCAUCAAAUUAGCAAAAUGGCAUAAGAAUGGACAAAAAUAACCUCAUCAUCCUUCUUAUUUUCUUCAAUUUUCCAACGCUUAAACCAUUCAACCCUCUUCUCUUCUCUUCAUUUCUUUUCUGUAGAUCUAGCACUGUUAUUCUAUAUCCUCAUCUUAUUUCUCCUACGUGAAUAAUACCCAACAUUUUCAAACAUACCCAAUAUCAUUUACAUAAAACCAACACCGAAAUAGAGGUUUGAAUUCAAGGUUUUGCUGGUAAUUAUUGGGCCACCAUAAGUGCCUCUUGAAUAAGUUUCUUCCCCACACCAAUCAAAUUUAAUAUCAAAUACAGUGUUGCCUAUAAAACUAACCGUGCAAGCUACUAAUACCUCAAUCAUUUGAGUAAUGUAGAGCCAACUUGUUAAAUUGAAGAUGAAUAAAGUGGAACCUCUAAUCGAUGAAGGCAUGAACUUUAAACACAGUAACGAAAAUGAACAUGAAAACUGGCUCUAACAAUUGAAAUCGGAAAACAAAGUUUACAUGUGUCUGAUGGAAGCUAGAGAAAGCCAUUUAAUCCCUUUCAAAUCUUGUAUGUAAUUCUAUCAUUAGAGCCAAUGUAUCACAUGGGUAUUAUAAUUAUGCUGUUAAUAUAUAUCAUUUACCUAAUGGGUUUACAUUACCUUUGAUAAUUAAGUCUUGUUCGAAAAUUGGAAGUGUUGGUCAUUGUAAAAUUGUUCAUUGUCAUGUUUUGGAGAUGGGUUUUAAGAAUCAUGUUCAUGUCGUGAAUGAAUUGGUGGGUAUGUAUGGGAAAGUUAGGAGAAGAAGAAGAGGGUGAGUUGUGAUUUGUGUUUGGAGAAGAAGAAGAAAUGAAAGAAUACGGGUGAGAAGAAGAUGAAGAUAGGUCCCUAAAAAAAAAAAAAGAUGAAGAUAUAUAGGGGUAAAAUUGUCAUUUCACGUGUGGGUUGACCAAUUACCAGAGCCACGUCAUCAAAUUAAUGACGUGGCAGUCAUUGACUGGGUCAAAGGAUGAAAUUUUAAACGAUUAAAGAAUGCAAGACUAGUUUGCAAGGAUUAGCGAAUACAGGGACCGAUUUUUAAACGAUCCAUAAUUGCAAGGAUAAAAUACAUAUUUAAACCUAAAAUCUAUGGUGAUGGGUGGUGGUGGUGGGGUUGGUGGUCCAUUGUAGUAGUUGUACAUUAUAAAUUAGUUCUUCAUGCUAUUUUUGAAAUACAAAAUAAGGUGAAAUAUAUUUUUAUCUCUGAAAUAUUUUAAAAUUUGUUUUGGUUCAACAAAUCUAUCUUGCGAGCAAUUUUACUCUCUACUGAUAAAUCACCAUAGAUAUUUUUUAAUGGUUUUUAGGAGACAUGUUUAAAAAACUAUAAAUGUUGCCCUGUACUUUAUUUUUAUUUUUAUAUGAGAUGAAUUAAACAUGAAUUUUUUAAAUGUCCAAAAGUUUAAGAUAAAAAUAAUAACGAAAAUAUGGAUUAUAAAAAUAAAUUUUAGACUAAUUUUUUGUAGAAUGUUUUUAUGAUAUUUUAAACAUAAUAUAAAAAAAAUCACUUAAAAAUAUACGUUGACUUGGCAAAAGAAACUAAAUAUGUGAUUUUUUUUUUUUUUUUUAUGGAAAUGAAAAACAAAAGUUUGAAAGUUCAAAAAUGUUAUUUAGGGUAUGUUGUAUAUAUCAUCAAGUAAUACGAACACAAGUUAUGCAAAUGCUAUAAUAAAUAUCAUCUCAAUGCUAAAAUCACCACCAUGACUAUAGUCACCAGAAAACCCAAGCUUGGUGAUAACAUCAAUACCCGAUCUAUUUAGAUUAAUAAAAGAGAGGGAAAUGUUAAAUAAUUAGUAAUAUAAUUAAGAGGUAAAACUUAGAGUAAGUCUAAUCAUAUAGAGUGAUAAAAAAAAGUCUAAUUGUAGAGUCAACCGAUCUAAUCUGUGUGUGUAUAUAUGUAUGUACCUGGAAAAAUGAGUUGUUUGCAUAACUUGUUUUCCCAUCGCCUCCAUUCAUGUGCACUAUCUUCCCCACGUCCAUUCUUGCUUCUUUUAGCUUUAUUUCUCUCUAGAUAUAAAUUUAUGUUGUGUAAUGUGCACUAUCAUUUAAAAGAUAUGUUGAGUAAUGUGUACACUAACCAUUAUUGCGAGUGCUACAUCAAUGGGGCCAUCCCUGUUAUUUUUACUUUUUUAAACAAUAUCUAUUAACUUUAUUGUACCUACCAUUAUUGGCUGGGUUUUAGAUGUAGAUAUUCUUCUCCUUUAAUUUAUAUAUUUUUUAUAAUAAAAACUAUAAAUAAAUUUAAUUAUUUUUUAUCUUAAUCUACGUAAGAAAUUUAGUGUCACAACCACAUUAACAUAUUUGAACAAAAUAUAUAUAUAUGAAUGACCUAAAUAAGAAAAAAUAAAUAAAAAGACUAAAAUGCUAUAAAUAAAUAAGAUAAAUGACUCCAAGAUGAUUUUUGUCCAAAAAAUAUCAAUGCUCAUUGGCAUAAUAUUUAUUAGAAAUAAUUACUUAUAAAAAAAUCAAGCAAAACAAUCCAACCAAUUCGAAUUGAGUUUAAUGAACGGACAUGAUGAACUAAGGUUUGAAUCUCAUUGAAAGACACUUUAAAUAUGAGUAUCUACAAACAAACAAUCCGUCACAAUGACUUUCAAUAUCUUUUUUUAAUCAAAAUAAUACAAACUAGAAAAAACAAACUUCUUGCUUAUUAUGCUUUUCUAGUCAAUGAUAUGAUAACUUUAACGGCCUUCAAUUUCUCUUUGGGUAAUUUAUCAAUUAUGAUUUUUUGGUGACGGCUAAAAAUCUCUUCGAUUAUAUCCUCACCAAAGUGGCUAACUACCAAUGGUUCAGCCAUAGCUCUCAUUAAUCGUGCAGCAUUAUAUACAUAUUCAUGAUGAUUAGAACCAUCUACAUACGCUUCAAACAACUCCAAACGAUUGAUGGCAAAUGAUCCUUCAUUGAGAACUUCUAACUCAACUUCAUAUGGUGAUGGAUAAUAUUGAGGGACAUUAAAAGUAUUCACUUGAUCUUCCUUUAUAAUCCCCUGUUGCAUACAAAAACCAUAUUCAUAUUAUAGACUAACACAAAUCAACUUCUACUCUAAAUAAAAAUCUAAGUAGAGUGUUUUAGGUUCGAACUCCGAUCCCUGCAUAUAACAAUGUAAUAUCCCUGCUAACCGAAGUUAUGCUCUAAGGAGCCAGAUAAAUAGGUUAUUUAUCUUUUAUAGGAAGACUUCUUUUUCAUUUAUAGGAUGCUUAUAUAUAUAUACCUCUAAGACCAUGCCAUUAAGAACAGCAGCUAAAAGCUCCCAAUAGUAGCAACAAUAUUUUAUGUCACAUGGAUCUUCAUUUCUUCUUCCUGGCAUUGUUAGAACCAUGCAACCCCCUUCAACUAGUUCCUCUGCACGACACUUGAGAAAAACCGAGAAGUCUCUUUUAAAUUGAUCAUAGUAUGCUUUGACAACAUUUGAGGGACUUGUGUAGUUGAUGUAAAUGUUGCUCUUAUUGUUCUCUAUACCCUCCGGAACCUAAUAAUUCCCCAUAAAAAAUACAAGGUGUUUCCUAAGGUAUAAAUUAAGAAACGGCACACAAAAAUAUACAAGAAACACAAUAUAAAAAAUCAGGUAACAAUAUUUACCUUUGAUAGCCACUGAAGGCUGUGAGAGGAAUGAAUGAAAUGUAAACUUCGAUUAGGAAAAACUCUACUAUAGAAAGAACCAGGAACCCCAAAAAAGUAGCAAGAACUCAUUUUAGUUUUGAUUUCAUCUUGCAGUUUCUCUUUAAAGUUGUCAAGUGACUUAAAUAUGUUGUUGAAGUCAUUUCCAGAAACAUCAUUAAAAAAUAUCUUGUACUCGGGAGAUGAAUGGUUCAAUUGUUGGCAAAGCUUCUCCACAACCAUGAUAAUAUCUGAUACCACAAACAAAGUGUUUGGUCCAGAAGAACAACCUAAAUCUGCAAUUGCAAGGCUUUUGAAAAGUGUUUUGGAGUAGAGGCUUGUUAUGGCUUCAUCUCUUAUUGGCUUUGUCAAAGAAACUGCAUUUCCCUACAACAACAUAAUAAAGAAAAUAUUUAAAAUCACUUAAAAAUAGUUUUUAAUUUUUCAUAACUAAUCUUUCAUGGUAUGGAUUCAAAUGAUAACAAAAUUACUCAUUUUAAAUUAACCAUAGGCAUUAACUAAUUAACUAACAUCUUAUGUUUUAGUUUGUACUAUUCGUCCUGAGUAGGGAUUGAGUUUUUAAAUAAAAUUUGUUGUUAAACAAAAAAAAAAAAAACUAAUACCUGAUGAAAUGAGUUUUUUGCAUAGCUUGUUUCUCCAUCACCUCCAUUCAUGUGCACUACCUGCCCCAGGUCCAUUCUUGUUUCUAUUAGCUUUAGUUUUUCCUUUCUAAGUCUUUUGAUGGAGUGUUCUUGUGUGCUUAAUGAUAGGUCAAACAACUAACACAUAUAUAGAUGUGAUGUUAUAAUGAUAUCGUGAUCACUAAAAAUUGAACUAUACUUUCCUCAAAAAAAAAUAAAAAUUGAACUAUACUAGAAUAAUACCUAACAUUGACUUAAAAAAAAAUAAUGUCAUAAUCACAGGUCAUACACUGAAAAAUAUCAAUUAAAAUUUGGACACCCUUAAUUUUAAACUCUUGAUCAAGAUAUUCUGUCACCUCACAUGCUUUUAUUGUCUUUUUCCUUUUUUCGUUGACGAAAGCAAACUUUUUUAAUCCAAGUACUCUCUCACAUCAGAUGCUUUUAUAGGCUUUUGUCUCUUAUGUUGCUUCAAUUCAUUAUUUGAUAGUACUAUCUUAGCUUAUUUUUUAGCACUUCGAUACAAUUUGUUAAACAACAUGCAGUUUACUUUAUUAAUGGAUUUCUUGUUAGUUUAUCGAUGCUUUUGUAUCAUAUUAAAAAAAAAAAUGUUACUAAAGAAAUAUCAUACAUCGCUCCAUAACCAACUUGAAUUGAACUCACUUCUGUAACAACCGACACGGAAUAAAUCGACAUUCAAGUUUAAUGAUUUUCGUUACUUGCUCAAUACUGAAUUGAACUCAAGGAAUAAAUCACUUUUAACCCUAGAUUUUUAAUAGUGGACAUAGAAUACUUGUUUACAAAAUAAUUGUUUUUUGAGAUACUAGAUUAUUUAGUUGUGAAAAAAUUUUAGUGAUGACACUAAUUGUCCAAGAGAUUAGGGUCAUGUGUUUGAUAAAGGAGACAUUGAACUAAUAAAAUUGGUCUUGGUUUACUUUGCUAAAUUGUUGUGAGCAUAAUCAAGUGAAUCUUGCUCAAAAUAUAGGAAGGGACGCUAAGAUAUAUAUUAAUUGAAAUUGAUUAAAGUCAUUUAUCAAAGUCACAUAGUCCCUUCGUCCUAUAAUAGAUGAUCUAUUUGACAAUGUUCACCGUUGAUUUAUCAUAAUUUGACUAUAUUUUUUUAUUAAUAUACAACGAACAAAAUCAAGAUUAAUCAAUUAAUUAAUGAAUUGAUAAGUAAAUUACAAUUAACUAAGCAAUUUGAUUAGCAAAAUUAUAAGUUUCUGAAAUUGUAAUUUGUUUUGCUUACAGAUCUAAACAGAAAAACGGUUAAAGUAAAUUCAGCAGAAAAUUGAAUGUUUUGAUCAAGUACAUGAACAUAUUUUUUGUUUGAGUCAUGUUAAUCGGGCCUUCAGGGCACUGGUUAAGGAAACUAAAAAGGAAAUUUUAAAUUGAAAAUAACAUAUUUUAUGCUUUUGAGGAGUUGACAAUGUAACGCCCCAAUUUUAUUUAAUUAUUUUUAGUUAUUUAAAGUCCUUUAUAUGAUUUUUAAAUCAUUUAUGUUGUUUUGUGGUGUGGUGUAUUUUAUUAAAUGGCUAUUUUUAGUAUUUAAUAGAAUAAGUGAGAAUUAGGAUUUAUUUUGGAGUUUGGGGGUUAAAUUAGAAUUUAAUAGAAAUAAGAGGAGUUAAGGAAUAUUGAGAGGUUAUAUUUAUUAAGAAAUAGAAAAUAGAAGGGGGAAGCAGUUUUCACGUACAACAGAGAAAAAGGAGAAGAGUCAAGAAAAGGGAAGAGAACCAAGAAGGGCUGCGAUUUCGAUUAUCUAAGGUAAGGGUGAGGCUAACUUACAUUAAUUUUAGUGUAUAUGAUUCUGAUUAUGUUUUAACAAAAGUUAUGAAUAAAUUUGAAGAAUUGGGAAUUAGGGUUAUGAUGAGAAUUGAUGAUUAAAUGAUGGAAUUAGGGUGAAUUGAUGUAGAAACGAUGAACAGACCUUAAAUGUUUCAUAUAUUGACGUUUAGAAUCAGUUUUAAGGUUAGAACAAUGGGUUUGGGUGAAUUUUUGAGAAAAACUGUAACCUGGCCGUACUGUUAUUCAUCGCUCGCCUCCCGAGUGAUGAUCCUCGCCAUAGCGAGUGAUGAAGAUCAUAGCUCGCCUCGCGAGCAGGAGUUACUCGCCUCGCGAGUUGCAUUUCGCAGCUCGCCAUGGCGAACAAAUUUACUCGCCAUAGCGAGUGUGGGCAGAGAGCUUGCAAGAUUCUGUGUUUUUGAGCUGUGAGUUCAACCUUGGGUGUUUAUGAGGGCCUGAACAUGUACCCUAAUGAUUAGGCAAAGUUUUAGAAGGAGAUUGAACUUGGAAUGGUGUCAGAAUGGAAUGGGGAGUAUUUUACACUAACUCGCCAUGGCGAGUAGAGCCUCUCGCCUCGCGAGUUGUCCCAUUUCAGAAGCCUUGUUUAGGAUUUUGCGAUCUUUUGUCGCACGUGAUGAUAUGAGUAGACCCUUGAGGUAGGAGAGUAGUUAUUCUUGAUUAUACGGAGAUUCAGAGAGGACGUUUGUAAUGUUUAAUGACAUCGACUUAGGUUGAUGAACAAAUGAGGAGAUAGUUAUAUAUUAUGAAAGAUGUUGAUAUGAGUCCUACUCGUUGUAUAUGAUGGUUAUUAUGGUCGUUGUCUCGCUGCUUGUUAUUAUAUGUUGUUGAAUUGAAUAUGAUUUGCUGUUGAUUGUUGGUUUAUGCAUAAAUGCAUUCAAUUAGAUUAUACAAGAUGUUAGUUCAGGUUGUAAGGUUGCAAGUUGUCGUUCUAAGUAACGGAGUCAUAGGUUGUUGAUGUUGGCCAAGUUGGGGAGUAAGUCAUAAGUUAUUAUGCACAGUCGUUGUCGUAGUUGAGUUGUAUGUUGAUAUACACAAGUCGAGUCCUUUCAUGAUUAGGAAACCGUUGAGGGCUCAUGCCCUGGAAUGCUCGUCAUUCAACCGUUGAGGGCUUAUGCCCUGGAAUGCUUUGUCAUUCAAAUGUUGAGGGCUUAUGCCCUGGAAUGCCUUGUCAUUCAAUCUGUUGAGGGCUCAUGCUCUGGAAUGUUAAUCAUUCAACCGUUGAGGGCUUAUGCCCUGGAAUGCCUUGUCAUUCAAUCUGUUGAGGGCUCAUGCUCUGGAAUGUUAAUCAUUCAACCGUUGAGGGCUUAUGCCCUGAAUUGCCUUGUCAUUCAAUCUGUUGAGGGCUCAUGCCCUGGAAUGUUCAUCAUUCAAAUUUGUUGGGGCUUAUGCCCCGGAAUGCUUAGUCAUUCAACGAGUUGAAAAUAGUACCUCGUUGUUCGUUGUCGUUGAUGGUGAUAUUGUCGUUGUUGUAGGUUGUGUUGUGGUUGUUGUUGUUGAGGGAGAUAUAGCUGUUGUGGUCGAGUUGUUGUUGUCGUUGUUGGUUGAUUUAGUAAGAGUUAUUAAAGUUGAAGAAGUAUGAAUAUUUUUGUUGAAGUAUAAGUUGCUUAUUACGUUAUUUAAUUAAGUUGUUGAUUUAUAUAUCUAUUAUUAUUGUUUGUGAAUCUCACCCCUUCUGCUUGGAAUUGUUGCCCUUCGUAUGGGUAACUUGCAGGUAUUGAAGUUUAUUAGAAGUGGUGGCUCAAAGUGUCUAGGGCUCUGAUACGUACGGGAUGGGAUUUUUCUUAUUGUUUUUCAUUCCUAUGUAUCAAAUUUGAAUGUUGCUGACGUAGCCCUAUGGUUGAUGAAUUUAUGUUGAUAAGGCUUUAUGCCAAGGAUUUAAUUAUGGAGAUUUAAACUAUUGCUAUCGUUGUUUUGAUGCAAAUUUUCCGCUGCAAAUUUAGUAAUGACUUUGAAGGAUGUUUAUUAAAUAGAUUUUAUAUUCUAUUUAAGAAAUUUUGAAAAUGUAGUGUGACAUGCCCGUUUGGGAAUUACUCUGAUGCAUGAAUUAUUAAUUAAUUGAUUUUUGGGAAACGGGGUGUUACAGACAACACAAGUUCCAAUAUAAUACUUACUACAUUUGACUCCUUAACAAUGCCCAAUGGGCACGGGUUAACAUUUCCCUUUUUGUUUUAUUCCCUACAAAAAGAAAUCUUACUUUUUAGUCCUUGUAACAUUUUCCCUUACCAUUUUAGUAAUAAAAAAUGGAAGCAAAUUUUUUUUGCAUGGACUAAAAUGACGAUGAAAUUUUUUAACGGGAUUAAAAAUGCUAACGGAAAAUUUUAGAUAUAUACUAAAAAAAUGCACUUUUUUGUAAAGGCUAAAAAUAAAAUUCAAAAUAUUUAUAGGGAGCAUUUACUUAAUUAACCUAUAAUAUAUACCUAAAACCCACAUAACAAUUGAGACACAAUAACUAGGAAGUAGAGGCAAACAAGUGUGGGUGCGCACGCACGCAUACGCGCGCGUGCGUGUUGAAAAUAUAUUUAAUAUAGAUAUUAUUUACCAAUUGUUAGAGAUCAUAAAAUAACAAAAUAAUAUUGAAAUGAUAAAAAUAUAAAUUAAUUUUUUACGUUUACAAAUUUUAAUUACACACUAAUUGUCUUAAUAUAUUUAGAACAAUCGACAUCGAAUUCGAUUGAUAGGAAUCUGAAGAUAAAAAGAAUUUAAAGUUUAAAUAAUCAAUAAAAUACUCAACAUUGAAAUCAAACUUACAACAUGAACUAUGAUUUUUCAUCUACAUACCACUUAAACUUCGAGAGAACAUGUUUACGAAAUUUGACGUAGAAAAUAUUUUCAAAGAUAAAAAUAUGAGGCCUGAAACAAACUUUUAUAAUCCAAGUACUCUCUCACAUCAGAUGCUUUUAUAGGCUUUUGUCUCUUAUGUUGCUUCAAUUCAUUAUUUCAUACUAUCUUAACUUAUUUUUUAGCACUUCUUACAAUUUGUUCAACAACAUGCAGUUUACUUUAUUAAUUGAUUUCUUGUUAGUUUGGCUGUGUUUGGUAACACAAAAAAGCUAGUUUAUAAGUUUGUUGGAUGAAAAUGUGAUGUGUUUGGUACCAAGCUUUUCUCAUGAGCUUAUAACGUUUUUUGAAAAACUAUUUCAAAUAGCUUUUGAGCUUAUAGCUGGUAGCUUUUUAUAUUUUCUUCCAAUUUUAACCUUUUAUUAAUAUAGUUUAAUUUAAUUUUAAUUAAAAAACCUACCCACAUUCUUAUUCAAUUGACCACGUUUAAAAAAAAACUACCCACAAUCUUUUUCAAAUUUUCUUGUUCACUUUCUUUUUUACAUACUCUUAAUACUCUUAAUUCAAUAAUAAAUAAUUUUAUAUAAAAUUUACAAUAAAGGGUGAAGAAAGUUUAGUUGAGUAAAAUUCAUUAAAAGAAAGUUUUGUUAAAUAAAAAAUGUCAAUUGAAUUCAUAAAUACAUUUAUCAUUUGGGAGAUGAAAAUAUUUUGAAAUAAAUUUAAACAUUUAAAAAGAAAUACAAUAAUUAAUAAAAAAAUGUAUAUAUGAUUUAUAAAAAAAGAUUGUCCUUAUACGUCAUUUUAUAUUUAUCAGCCAUUUGAACAACUAAUUUUACCAAAUAUUUUUUUAUUUUAAUAAGCUAACUUUUCAGCUAUAAGCUAUCAGCUAUCAGCCACCAGCUAUCAGCUAGCUUGUCAGCUAUCAGCUGACUUAUAACUUCUUUUUACCAAACACACCCUUUAUCGAUGCUUUAGUAUACAAUACUCAUAUUAAAAAAAAAAAAAAAAACAAUGUUAAAAGAAAUAUCAUACACCCGUCCAUUGAGUUGAACUCACUUCCAUAACCUUAGAUUUUAUAAGUUGACAUAGAAUUCUUGUUUACAAAAUAAUUGUUUUUUGAGAUACUAGAUUAUUUAGUUGUGAAAAAAAUUAGUGAUGACAUUAAUUGUCCAAGAGAUUAGGGUCAUGUGUUUGAUAAAGAGACAUUGAACUAAUAAAUUGGUCUUGGUUUACUUUGCUAAAUUGUUGUGAGCUAAUCACGUGAAUCUUGCUCAAAAUAUAGAAAGGGACGCUAAGAUAUAUAUAUAUAUAUAUAUAUAUAUAUAUUAAUUGAAAUUGAUUAAAGUCAUAUACUUCAUUCGUCCUAUAAUAGAUGAUCUAUUUGACAAUGUUCACUAUUAAUUUAACAUAAUUUGACCAUAUUUUUCUAUGGGUCCUACUAACCGGUGCCCCCGGAGCACUGGUUAAGCAUACCAUAAAAGAGAAUUAUUUUCAUAAAAGGAAACUGUUUUUGACUUUAUUAUAAAUUAAUUACACAAUUUCAAUGCAUUAACUACUAUAUAAUUUUCUUUUUCAUAUCCUUAAGUGUCUCAGGGACACCGGUUAACAUUUCCCUUUUUCUAUUAAUCAAUUAAAGAUUAAUCAAUUAAUUAAUGGAUUGAUAAGAAAAUUACAAUUGACUAAGCAAUUUGAUUAGCAAAAUCAUAAGUUUCUGAAAUGGUAACUUUUUUUCCUUACAGAUCUAAACAGAAAAAUGGUUAAAGUAAAUUCUGCAGAAAAUUGAAUGUUUUGAUCGGGUACAUGAACAUAUUUUUUGUUUGAGUCAUGUUAACUAGUGUUCCAGUGCCCUCUAGUUAAAAAAAAACUAAAAAGGAAAUUUUAAAGUGAAAAUAACAUAUUUUCUGCUUUUGAGGAGUUGACAACACAAGUUUCAAUAUAAUAUUUGCUACAUUUGACUCCUUAAUCAAUGUUUUGGGGCACUAGUUAACAUUUUCCUUUUUGUUUUAUUCCCUACAAAAAGAAGUCUUACUUUUUAGUCCUUGUAACAUUUUCCCUUGACAUUUUAGUAACAAAAAAUGCAGGCAAAUAUUUUUUGCAUGGACUAAAAUGACGAUGAAGUUUUUUAGAGUGAUUAAAAAUGUUAACAGAAAAUUUUACAUAGACUAAAAUAUAUACCUGAAACCCACGUAACAAUUGAGACGCAAUGGCUAGGAAGUAGAGGCAAACAUGCGCGGGUGCGCGCACACAUACGCGCGAGUGCGUGUUGAAAAUAAUAUUUAAUAUAGACAUUAUUUACCAAUUGUUAGAGAUCAUAAAAUAACAAUAAUAUUGAAAUGAUAAAAAUAUAAAUUAAUUUUUUACUUUUACAAAUUUUAACUACACAUUAAUUGUCUUAAUAUAUUUAUAACAACCGAUAUCGAAUUCGAUUGAUAGGAAUCUGAAGACAAAAGGAAUUUAAGGUUCAAAUAACCAAUAAAAUAUCUAGCAUUGAAAUCAAACUUACAACAUGAACUAUGACUCUUCAUUUGUAUACCACUUAAACUUCGAGAGAAUGUUUACGAAUUUUGACGUAUGAAAAUAUUUUCAAAAAUAAAAAUAUGAGGCCUAUCACGGGGCUUAAAAAACUCGGGAGCCUAAAAUUAGACAUAUGGAUUACAACACCAUUGAAAAGAAAAUGUUAGCAUCAAAGCAUAACCAAAAUUAGACAAUUUUUUUUGACUAUCUUGUCUUGGAAUAAAGCACAAAACGUAAAGAAAAGUAUAAUUUAACAACAAUAAAUAAUUAAAAUAAACUUGUAUUUAUUAUUAGUAUAUUUUUGUUAUACAAUGCAUCAUUUAGAAUAUUGUCAUGGCUUCCAUAGUAUAAAAGGUUUACAAUUUCCAAUGGAAGGGCAAGACAUGUAAUUGUUUUUCGAUUGAUCCAAGCAUAGCCUUAUAAUUUCAACGAACUCAUUUGUACAAUAAAGUUUUGGGUCCUAACCAGAAUUGUGCUUUUUUAGUUGUUGAGGAUGAGGGACAUUAGGGCUUGGAGAAAUGCCUUCUUGCCUAAGAAUAUCAAAAACAUCCUUUUUCCUUCAAAUGUUUUGUGCUAGCUCAAUGUGUUUGGUUAAAAUGUUAUACGAGCAACUCCCAUAUUUUUUUCACUUGUACUGCCAAAAAAUUAUUUCGUGGUCCCUUUAGAUUUGGUCAAGAGUGAUCAAGGUUUCUCUUCAAUGUACUACUAAUUUGAUGAAAUAAAACAAUGACAAUAAUAUCAUAAUAAUCAAGAAUAAAUAACAACAACAUCAACAACAUGAAUAAUAAUAAUAAUAAGGCUUAAAUAUGUAUUUGAUCCCUGCAAAUAGGGGUCGUUUAAAAAUUGGUCCUUGCAAUCACUAAUUCUUGCAAACAAACCCUGCAAUUAUUAAUCACUUAAAAAUUGGUCCUUGUACCCAGUUAAACGCAUCCAGGUCAUCUGUUUACUGACGUGGCAACGUAUAACCGGUUUUCAGUUGACAGGUUAGCUAUAUGGGCAUGGGAAUGGACGAAAAUGCCCCUCUUCAGAUGAGGGCAAUGUAAAAUGACGUAACUACCCUCUAAUCCUUCAUUCUCAUGGUUGGUACGAAUUGCGAUCUCUGGGUGAAGAAAUUAGGGUUUGAAAAGGGGAUUACGGUUUCAAUGCGCGAUUGAAGUUGGUAUCUCAUACGGAUCGAAUCAAAUGAAGUUUCGUGACUCGUUUUCAAUGGCGAAUCCAAAGGAGGUGUCAUUUUCGAAUUCGAAGAACGCAAAGGAUGGAGAAUCGUCAGGUCAUAAUACAGGUAUGUUCAUUUGAAACGAUGAAUUAUGUUUUUAGUUGUUGUUUUUUCGGUUUUGUUUAGUUGAAUGUCAUCGUUUUUAAUUUAGGGUUUUAUUUUUUCCAUCAUUUCUAAAUUAGGGUUUAAUUAUUUUCCAGAUUUGGGUAUUUCCGUUAAGUUCCAUUAUGGGGGGAGGUUUGUUAGGGAUUGGGUUAUUUGUUACAAUGGGGGAGAAGAAACGUUGAUUGAAGGUGUAGAUCCUGAUAAAUGGUGUUUUUUUUGAACUAACUGGAAUAUUGGAAACUGAUUUGCUAGUUAAAAAACCUUUUAGGCUGUGGUGGAUGUUAGAUGAAGAUCUUAGUUUUAGGGUGAUUAAAGAUGAUGCCACUGCUGAAGUUGUAAAAGAUUAUGCACUUAACAAAAAUAUUGUUGUUAAUGUUUUUGUUGAACAUAAUGUGGAUGAAAGUACUGCUGUUGUUGAUAUCCCUAAUUAUGAUGUUGUUGGUGAGGAAUUGGGUGAGAGUUAUAAGGUAGUUAACAAUGAGAAGGGUGAGAGUUCUGAGGCAGCAAAAAGUGACAAGGGAAAAUGAGUAUUAGUGUACAAUGAUAAUGAACAAGGAGAUGGUGGAGAUGGUGGUAUAAGUAGUAGUAGUGAAGAUGAAGUUGAAGUUGAAGAUGAAGAUAGGUGUAUUGAUAGUGAGGAAGAGAGAGCACUGGGAUUUGAUGAUGGGUUUGAAGAAGUGGAUGAAGGCAAUUUGAAUGAAGACACAGGGGCAAAGAUGGCUGAUAUAGGAAGAAAUGUGGAAAUGGAUAAUAUAGAUGUUGAUGAUACUGAUUGGGGGAAGGAGUAUGAGAGUGAAGAGUUAGAUUCUGAUGAUCCUGAUUUGAGUGGUGAUGAGAGAGCACCUGCUUGUGAUGUGUUUAGGCCCAGCCAACUAACCAAGGAUUAUGUGUUCACAUUUGGCAUGGACUUUAAGAGUCUUAAAGAGUUCAAGGAUGGUAUAAGGGAAUGGUGUGUAUUAAAUGGGACCCAGAUGAAAAUAGUUAAAAAUGAUAAAAGUAGGUGUAGGAUAGUGUGCAAAGAUACCAAUUGUGACUUUACAGCCCUUUGCAGCAAGGUGGCCUACAACCAUUCUUUUAAAUUAAAGACAUGGAAUGGGGACCACACAUGUGGUAGGGUUUUAGAAAAUCGUAGUGCUGAUGUAAACUUUGUUACCAAAUAUGCCCUUGAGAAUAUGAGGACCUCUGAGAUGAAGGUUAGUGAUAUAAUGUCAGAUCUGAGAACACACAAGUCAGUUGGAGUGUCAUUUUACAUAGCUUGGAUGGCAAAAAAGAAGGCCAAGAAACUCAUAGAAGGGGAUGCAAAGAAACAGUAUACCUUACUGUGGAGGUAUGCAGCUUAGCUUCAGAGGGUAUCUAAAGGAAACAGGUGUAAGAUAAAUGUUGAUAGACUGUCUUUGAGUGUUCAACCCAAAUUUAGCAGGUUUUAUUUUUGCUUUGAUGGUUGUAAGCAGGCCUUUAUAUCAAGUUGUAGGCCAUUCAUAGGGGUGGAUGGGUGUCAUCUGAAAACCCAAUUUGGAGGUAUUUUAUUGGUUGCAGUUGGUAAAGAUGCAAAUGACCAAUACUUUCCUUUGGCUUUUGGAGUUGUAGAGACAGAAACAACAGAUUCAUGGAGGUGGUUCCUUACCUUACUGCUUGAAGAUAUUGGAAGUAAUAGGAGAUGGGUAUUUAUUUCUGAUCAACAAAAGGUUAGGUGUUUUGUUUUAGAUCUGGUUGGUUCUUUUAUGUAAAUUGUAUAUCUGGUUCUUUAACCUUUUAACUAUUUAUCAAUUUCAGGGGCUGAUAUCAGUUUUGGAGGAGUGGUAUGACAUAGUUGAACACAGACCAUGUUUGAGGCAUCUGUAUGCAAACUUUAAAAAGAGAUUUGGAGGUGGUGCUUUGAUCAGGGACUUGAUCAUGGGUGCAGCCAAAUCAACUUAUUAUCAAUUGUGGAAGUCAAAGAUGGAUGAGCUGAAGAAGAUUCACUUGAAAGCUUGGGAGUGGUUAGUGGCACAUGACCCUAAAAUGUGGUGUAAGCAUGCUAUUUCCUAUUAUCCUAAAUGUGAUGUCUUAAUGAACAACAUAUCUGAAGCAUUUAAUUCAACAAUAUUAGUUGCUAGAGACAAACCAAUACUUACCAUGGCUGAAUGGAUUAGAACAUAUUUAAUGAAUAGGAUGUCAACCAAUAGGCUUAAGCUACAGACUUGGAACCAUAAGAUAAUGCCUAUGCCUAGGAAAAGAUUAAACACAGAAAUUGUGAAGUCUGGUGGUUGGGUUGCCAUAUGGGGUGUUGCUGAGGAGUUUGAAGUUCAUCAGGUAGGAGGAAGUCAUGCCUUUACUGUUAAUUUGGCAAAAAAAACUUGUUCAUGUAAUUUUUGGGAGUUGGUGGGGAUUCCUUGCAGACAUGCCAUUGCAGCUAUGUCUAAAACUUCAAAGGACCCAGAAGAUUAUGUCUCUGACUGGUAUAGCAGGGAAAUGUAUGAAAAGUGUUAUACACACAAUGUAAGUGCUAUCAAUGGUCAAGACAUGUGGUCAGAGGUUGAAUGUGAGGAGUUGUUACCCCCUGCUUAUAAAAAGGGUCCAGGAAGACCAAAAAAGGUUAGAAUGAGAGAAGCUGAUGAAGCACCAUCCUCACAAGGUAAGUAUAAAAGAUCUGGGACUACUUACAGGUGCAUAAAAUGUGAUAAGUUUGGGCAUAAUGCUAAAGGAUGCAAAAGUCUAACUGUCAACCCCAAUGCUCAAAAAAGAAAGGUAUUACAUUUUAUCAUUUUUUAGAUUUAUUCUUCAAAUUUUGUAAUAAGCUAACAUGUGUAUUCUAUUAUUGGUGAACACAGAGAAAGCCACCAAGACAACCAAGUGAAGCUGGGACUGGUGCAAGUGAAGCUAAUGCUGGAGCAAGUGCAAGUGAAGCUAAUGAUGGAGCAAGUGCAAGUGCAAGUGAAGCUGUUUGUGGAGCAAGUACAAUUCAUGGUGGGGAGUCUACAUCAAGUGCAAAUGAGCCUGUGCAGGGUGCAAGUAAGAAAAGGAAGGUUGGGAGCAAUACAACAUUCAUUCCUCCAAAACAGAGUAAGAAACCUAAAAAAAAUCCCAUGGCUUUUAUGUCUUCAUCUGUAAAGCCAAGUGCUAAUGUUCAAACAACAGUUCACACCACCAACAAAUCACACACAUUAAUAGAGCCAACUGCAAAUGUCACCACUACGGUUCACACUUCAAGCACAUCUGUGAGGCCAACUGCAACUGUCAACACUGCGGUGCACACAUCAAAAAGUUCACACACAGUUGUUAAACCCAUAGCAAAUGUAACCACAGUUAUUAACCCAAAACCUACUGUUAUGAAGAAACCUUCUGUUAAACCUGGUAUGCAUAGAAAACCACCAAGAAAACCUACUGUUCGCACCUUAGAUGUUGUUAGGGCCAUUGUGGAGCCAAUAGUGAAAGUAAAAGCCCCUGUUAGGAGGAGUGGCAGAAUAGUCUGGAAAGGUCCUGCAAUAAAAAAAGGUCCAGGGAAAGAUAUGGAAAACCCAAUUGAGGUGGUUGAUGAAGAAGUUGAAGAGGCAGGUGGAUCAGGGAAACAUGUUGCUGAAGCUACACCAAGAAAAUUAACAGAUGCAGGUGGAAGCUGCUUGACCUUGUUAAGAAGUGUUGAAAAUGUGAAGUAUAUUUAGUGUUAAUGAUGUAAUGACAUUUCCACUGACUUGUAUUUUGUGUUUUGCAAAGUCCAACUUAUGCAACUUGUUUAAGACUUGUAUCUUGGUGUUUGGCUAUGUCCCACUUAUGUAAUAGCAGUACUUGAAUUGUCAUAACUCUGUGAUUUGCUUGGCUAAGUCCAAAUUUUGUAACACAAAGUAUGAACAUCAGUUAUUAUAAGUAUUCAACUUUUGGCAAAGAAUGAAUUAUUUUUAAGUAUUCAACAAUUAUAACUUGUGUUUCAAACUUUAAUUGCAAUCAUCUUCCAAACAUUGACACAAACUAACAAGCCAUGAUUUCAUUCAUAAACUUCACAUUACAUAAUAGUUGUACCAACAAAAGUACACAAACACAAUACACAAUUACACAACAAAACAUUACACCAUAACACACCACAGCUAACAUCAAACUUACAAACUACAUAACAUUACUUCUUAGCAAAGAAUACAGCAAAGAUCAACCAGCUAGCUAUGAUAAUCCACUUAAGCAAUUCAACCUUCUUCUUCUCAGCCAACACCUUCAUUUUCCACUUGUCUUUCUUCUUCUCCCAUAAUUCACCACAGUUGCAAUGUUGGUUUGUAUACCUUCCAGACUUUGCAGACUCAGCUUCACGAAUCACAGGUCCAUUCACAGGUGCAGACUCAUCUUCACGAAUCAGAUGUGCAUUACCAUCUUCACGAAUCAAUGGUGUGAUGUAGUAUUUUUGCAUCAAACAAUAGUAAGUAUUUAUAUCGUCUCCUCAGGGACUAGUGCGAUAUCGCGGACCGUUCGACACCAAAUAUCAUUUCAAGUUAAACGAUAGUUGAUUGUUUGUUUUAGUAACUGAAUUGCAAAUGAUAAAAUUGAGAUUAAUAGGGCGUAAAACUUGUUAGGAUUAGAGUUCCUUGAUCGAGCGUCGCACGUAACCUAAUGAUCAUACAUGGAUUCUAGCUUUUCUUUGAUAUUAUCACGUAUCCCUCGACAACACCAUUCGUGUCCAAACAAUAUUGUGAAAUCAAUUGUAUCAUUCAAUGGUCGAUGUCUCAAACUAUUGAAUGAUUCAAGAGUCGAUCUUAUCGUUCAAUCGAUGAUUUCUCAAUCUAUUAAAUGAUAAGAAAGCUUUAGGUUUGGAUACUCAAGGUGAUUAUCAAAACAUCGAUUCCAUGUCUAGAAACUAUGUUUUGAUAGAUGGUUAUUCUAAACCUAGAUUCAAAAGUAUUUCUCAAUCACAAUUAAAUCAAAGAUAAAGAUUAAAGUGCAAGAAUAACCUCAAUAUCAAUUCAAAUGCUAGAACCAUAUAUUUAUAGAUCAAACGAUUACAUGUUAAACUAUGAUCAAGUACCUCUAAUCCCAACAAAGGAGAUUUAGCUACUCAUUGUCAUGGAAGCCUUGCAAGAAUGAAUUGAAGAAGCAAGAUUCAUUACAACUUGUGAUGUCUCAACAAAGGAUGAAGAAUCCACUCUCUAUCACUCUCACUCUAUAAAGCACAAGCCCUAUCUCUCUCUCUAAGAAUAUUACAAGUGAAAACACAGAGAGAAACUAAGUGAAAAACUAUGUAAAAACUAUCUCUCUCUGAAAUGGUUGAGUGGGCUAUUUAUAGAAUUCUGAGUCUGCCUUCACUCGCCUCGCGAGCUGCUUCAUUCGCCAUGGCGAGUUGAAGUUUCUUCCCCAUUGGGUUUGUGCCACGUCAGCAUUUAGAGGCUAAACCGCCCUUACUCGCCUCGCGAGUCCUUCCAUUCGCCAUGGCGAGUAAGCUCGCCUUCUACUCGCCAUUGCGAGUUGGUGGCGUGUGAUCUUUGUUGCAUUCUGGAAUUGCUCGCCUUUGCUGCUUGCCAUGGCGAGUUGGAGGCGAGUAAUCUCCUUUUUCUGCCUUUUUGUACUUUUCUCGAUUUUCUUCUCUUUGCUUGAUGUCUUGAGUUCGAAUCCUGCACAAAUGGGUGAAGUAAGAUAGAUAAAGCGUAAAAGGGCAAUAAUCACUUAUUUCUCGGCUUUUCCCUUAAUAACUUGCAAAACAAGUAACAAAAGUGCCUAAAAUAUAUCACUUAAAUUACAACUUUCUAGCACUUAUCAUGGUGCAGAGUCUGCUUCCUUUGAGUUUGAAACAGCUGAAUAGCACUGAGCCAUUGGUCUGGUAGCUGGACCAAGUUCAUCAUCCCAAAUCCACUCAUUGUAGGUUUUGUAUUUUUUCUACAUACCAAAGCAAGCAUUUUCCAAUUUUAUUCACUGUCACUGUAUUGUAUUUACAAUACAAUGAAAAACGGAAAUUUCAUAAAAUAAAACUUACCUGCCAAUCGCGACUCUCCAAAACCUCCUGCCUUGAUUCUCCAAAGUCGUUGCUAUGUAAAGAAUCAUCGGCUUCAUAGGUAAACAACGGCACAGUGGAAGCAUCCCUCGAGAUGUGGGCAAUGAGGGAGGGGGAAACUUUCCACCAUUGCAGUAGGUUUCGUAGUUGUCUUUUGUUGAGGUAUCGGUUGACAUUUGCAAUGUUCAGGAAACAAUGAUUGAAAUGAAAUGGAGAAGAAGAAGAGAACGAUCUGGAGAUCCAGGAAGAAGAGGGUCGCGGUGAAAGAGAAGAGAAAAGGAUGGUUUUUGAAGAAGAUGAACGAAGGGUAGUUACGUCAUUUUACGUUGCCCUCAUCUGAAGAGGGGCAUUUUUGUCCAUUCUCAUGCCCAUAUAGCUGACCUGUCAACUGAAAACCGGUUAUACGUUGCCACAUCAGUAAACAGAUGACCUGGAUGCGUUUAACUGGGUACAAGGACCAAUUUUUAAGUGAUUAAUAAUUGCAGGGUUUGUUUGCAAGGAUUAGUGAUUGCAAGGACCAAUUUUUAAACGACCCCUAUUUGCAGGGAUCAAAUACAUAUUUAAGCCUAAUAAUAAUAAUAAUAAUAAUAAUAAUAAUAAUAAUAAUAAUAAUAAUUUACAUUAUAAUAUUUAGGGGCCGGGUUCGAACCCUUAUUUCAUCUUAGGUGACAUGUACCACUGAUACACCCACACACAAUUGUUAUAUUAGCAGCUCCCGUAUUUUUUCCACUCGUACUGCCAAAAAAAAAUUAUUUCGUGGUCCCUUUAGAUUUGGUCAAUAGUGAUCAAGGUUUCUUUUCAAUCAAGAAUAAAUAAUAAUAAUGAUUAGGCCUAAAGAUAGGGUUCUUUUCAAUCAAGAAUAAAUAAUAAUAAUGAUUAGGCCUUUAGAUUUGGGCUUGAUACUUGUUGUUCUGAGGCGUGAGCAGAAAAAUCCAACAUAUGAAAGAGCAAAAAAAUCCAUUAAAAUUGGCAUUAGUGGUUUAUACCUAGAAAAUCAACAAUAAAAUCAUUAUUACAAUGUUUAGAGGUUUGCAAAAAUAAAAACAAAGUUAUCUUUAAGCAUCAGGAUCAAAUCAAUUUCCAUUCUUUCUUGAUAUCCAAAACAAAAAAACCAGAUCAAGGGUUUCACGUUGAGCUGCAAUCAUCUCACGCAUUUGUAAAGGCAAAUUAGCUAUUGUACAUAUUAGUGAACAAAUUAAUCAUGUUAGUUUCAGCAAUACCUGAUUGAGGGUUUGCGAGGAUUCAACUAUGGGUUCACAACGGAUGACGGGUUUGCGGAGGAUGACAUAUUCGCGGAGAAAGAUCAACGAUUUUGUGAUUAGUGAUGCAGAUCGAUGGGUUUUAACGGUGGAUGGGUUCGAGGGAAGGAUGGGUUCGCGGUGGAAGAAAAGAUAGGGUUCCAUGCGGUAAGAUGGGUUGGAGUGAGAGAAGGAAGAGAGAGAUAUAUACUUGCGGUUUGGAGACGGCGCGCGGUUUUGUGGUGGAGGAGAAGAGGUUUUCAGUUUUUGAUGGAGAAGAGCUACACAUACGAUUGCCUUUUGUUAGGUCCUUUUUUUUUUUAAUAUACUCCAAUUUGAUAAACACCAAACAUAGCGUUUGUAUAAAAACGCUAACUACCCCCCCUAAUAAUAGCGUUCAUUGCAAAGCGCUAUCUUUGCGAAGCUAAGUAACAGCGUUUACCUAGCUAAAAGCGCUAUUUAAUCCAUAUUUUUUAGUAGCUUUUCUUUAGCGCUCGACCAAAAAGGUUAUUAAAGGCAUGUAUGUUGCCUUUUUAAUAUCAUUUAUAUAGAAAAGCUAUUAAAAUUGUGUUAUUAAAAGCUAAAAAUUGCAAUAGUGAGGGUAAUUGAAAAGAAAAAUUAGUCUCCGUGAGCAUAACUCAAUUGGCAGGGACAAUACAUUAUUAUAUGCAGGGGCCGAGGUUCGAACCCCGGACACCCCACUUAUUCACUUUAAAAGUGAAUUCCUAGUCACUAGGCUAUCUGACCAAACAAAAAAGAAAAUUAAAAAAGAAAAUUAAGUGAUUCAUCUUCAUAAUUCAUAUCAUUGGGAAAAAUAUUUAGAAAACAUCAUCAAUGAUGUAGGAAUAAAUUAUGUUACCGUGAAUUUAUGAAUUAAGAUAUGCACUAAUGGUCUGUCUUUAUUAUGCCUCAACUCUUUUAUUUUUCACAAAGGUGACAUCUAUCACACACGAGCACCAUGUUCACGUUAUAGUCCUAGUCGCAGCACACAUGCGUACGCGCGGACAUGCAUGUGUGCGCGCGUGUGUUUUUUGGACACACGCCUCAUGUGGAACAUUUGCAAUGGAUUUUGUUUCCACAUAUAAAUAUUAUUUUGCUGAGGUUUUUCAAAAGAAGACUCAUUAUUAUUUUUAAAUGUAUUUAGUGGAUUGACAUUUGGUCGGUAGCAGAAGGUUUGCUGUUUUCAAACAUUACAGAUCCUCAUCAAAGUAGGUGCUCCACCAACAUUAAAAAAGUGAGAGAAUUAACCUCUGAAACCUAGCAUGGUUUAGUUAAACUUUCUCCUAUUCAUUAUAUGGCACUUUAAGAGAUAUCAGGAACCAAUAGUACAAUAGUUAUCGUCAAGGCAACAGUUAAAUUUGGUAACCCCAUCCAAGUGUGCCUUUAAAGAUUAUAUUGGAAUAUAUACACUUUAAAGAUCAUUGUAUCUUUUUUUUUUGACAAAAAUGAUCAUUGUAUUUGUUUUUUUUUUUAAGAAGAAGAAUCAUUGUAUCUGUUUGUUAUACUUUUAAAAAAAAAUAUAGAUCUACGACGAAAAAAAAUCUAGAAAUAGUUUUAAAUGAAAAGAUAUAAGAGUAACUUUUCAAAAAAUAUAUCAAUCAAUAGUGUAUAUAUAUAUAUAUAAAGUAAAGUUUUUUAUGCAACAUGUCACUUUCAAAUUUAUUCUCAAUAUUCUUAAAAAAAUCACUAAAUUAUUGAAUGUCAAAAUAAUUCAACAUAGCAUAUAAACCAAAAAAUAUUAAUUACAAUCGAGUCUAACAUUUUAUUUGGAUAUAUGUUAGUCUGGACUUAAAUUUAAAAUUAUAGGAUCCAUAUUCAAUAUCUAAAAUUAAGAAAUUCAAAAUCUUACAAAUUUUACGUCAUAAUCGUAGUCGCAGCGCACAUGCGUACGCAUGCGCGGGUGCGUGUUUUAUGGACACACAUCUCAUGUGAAACAUUUGCAGCGGAUUUUGUUUCCACACGUAAAUAUCUUUUGCUGAGGUUUUUCACACGGAAGAAGUAUAGAAUUAUUUUUAUUUCAUUCUAUUAUGCUCAACAUGAUUAUUUUAUUUCAUCAGAUUUCUACAACAACAGAUGUUGAACUCCCUACUUCAUGACCAAAUUUAGAAGGAGACAGUUUCAAUUUUAAUUUUGCGAAAGGGAGUGAUUUGAGCAUGGAACCUGCUCGUACUCCACCCUUAACUAAACUUAAUUUUUCUUCCUAGCAAACAAGAUUUUUUUGGAAGGGGAUGCAGAUUUUGACAUACUUAAAGCAAAAUAUAUUUAUGCAAGUACCUCCUCCAAGAAAGAUAGAUUGUCUUUCAAAAUGUAUUAAAUAAACACAUGAGUGGGGUUAUUGGUUUUGAACUUCAUUGUGCUCGUAGAAAUAAUGAGUUAUUGGCGAUUAGGCCGUGUAGAAAUCAUGCCUGUGACAAGAACAAUGAUUGUAAAUUUGUGGGAUCUUGUGGAAUUUAACUUGAAUGGCUUCUGUAAUAUGUAUUUGUAAUCCGCAAUGAGUUGAUUAAUAAUGAAAAUGCAUUUCAUGUUAAUGUCAAUAUAUAUUAAGUUGGAUGCACUGUCACUAUGUAUAAUUUUUAAAUAGUUUUUCAAUGUAGUUCCUAAAUUUGUGACGUUAAUGUCAUUGAAUAUUAUCAAAUUGAAUAGACAUUUAGAUUUUUUUAGUUUCAAAUAUCAUAUUAACAAACAAUUUUUUUUUAUAGAGAUCAAUGAUACAAAUUUAAAUUAAGAGAGUAAUGUUAAAAAUUGUCUUGAACAACCAAAGUCAUUUGAGUAUUAUUUUUGUAAAGUUCAGAACACACCAAGAUGAAAAAGAGAGAAAAUAUCACGAAGGAAGGAAAUGAAUGAAUAAAACCUGUUUCACGUAAAUAAAAUAUAUCUGCUUCAUCAUUCUUUUGAUAGAUUCUGAGUAAAAGAAGAACAAUUUGUUUGUUGGGGAAAUCCUUGGGAGGGAUUUGUAUUCUCUAUUUUCUUUUAUGUUUUGUACCCUCAUAAAAUUUUCAAUAUACCUCACACUGCGUCUAAAGGGAUUAAGUCUAAUGUCGGUUGUUAAUUUAUAAAGAUGUGAAUUUUAUUCUAAGGUAUUUAGGAAAAAUAUGUUUGGUUAACUUUAUAAUAUUCCUAGAACCAUGAAAAUAGGGAUUAUAAUAGGUAACUAUUUACGAAUUUAUUCCCAUCUCCAUGGGAACUUUAUUCCCACCAUUUUUCUUGGGAAAAUUUUUCUAUCCUAGGAACACUUUAUAUCCGGAAUAAAAUUUAGUAAACUUGUAACAAACAUAGGCAUAUAUAUUCCUAUCAUUUUAUUUUUGAAAAUCAACAAAUAUAACUUGAAACAAACACACCCUUAGUAUUUUUAGGCAAGUGCAUUAUACAUAUUUACUAACUACUAUUAAUAAAUGUAAUUUAGUAAAAGAAAUUUGAUGUGUAGACGAAGUGACAAAUACCAAAUCACACACACCGAAUCAUUUACUUAUUCUAUCUAUCACAUUACGUCUCUCAACACCCCCCCCCCCCCCCCCCAAUCCCCUCUAUUUCUUCCAAUUGUCCUUUCAUUUUUUUCUCCCAUUCCUUGCCCUCUAAACUCGCAAACAAUGCCUAAGGAUCUUGCUCUUUCCAUUCGUCGUCUACAAUUAGUUUCUGUCGUGUUAUAAUUUUUUUACAUUGCACUCGUUACAACAGCUUUGAUUUCAUAAGGUUUUCUAAGAGAUUUAAGCACUUUUUUUUCCAGAGAGACUUAAGAACUUUUAUGUAUAAGAUGUUAAUGUGUUGUGUUGGCAAAACCAUUGAGAUUAGAUUAGAUCAAAUUAAGAACCAUAUCAUCCUCUUAUAUUAUUAAAAUGAAAAUUCAAAUAAUAAUAACAUAAAAAACGUAACACACAUGUGUUUUAUUGCUGACAUAUCUCAUCUUAUUAAUUUAAAACAAACAUAGAAGUGGAUGAUUCAUAAGCUACCAAUCCUAGCCACUGCCACCAAACACACCCUUAAGCAUCAUAAUUGGUGCAGCAUCAAGAAGAGUAGUCUUUUGAAUUGUGGAAGUUGGUAAGUUGUUACCAAAUAACAAAGGACUAAUUACAUGUAUGCUAGGGUUUGAGCUACUAAAAGCAGCAUAAGCAAUAGCAUUUCCAUCACCAGAGUUAAAUUGAAAAUGCAAUAGUCCUAUUGGAAAAACCCAAACAUCACCAGGAUUAAGAAUUUUCACCAAAAGUUUUGUAGGUGUGAUGAAUCCAACAGUAAUUUGACCUUGAAUAACGAUUAGUAAUUCAGUUGCAUCAGGAUGAGUGUGCAUUGGUACACUUCCAUUUAUACCAAUAUCUAUUCUUGCUGCAGAUAACUUAUGUCCAUUGAGACCUGCUAAAUUACUGACAUUUACCGAGGUUAAUCCAACUUUAAAAGGGUUUGCUGUGUUUCCAGCAGCUGCUAAGCUAGAGUACAUGAAAUCAUCCGCUGUUACAAAUUUUUCUGAUUUGCAUGGAUAGCCUGAAGGGGUGUCUGAUGUAAGAAAUAAGUUUGCUACACAGAAAUCAUCAGAAUCAAUAGCAUUGGUGGUAAAUGAGAUUAGGGCAAAAAAGAAAAGAACAAUUUGGAUCAUCUUCAUCUUUGAAAUUUGUGUGUGGGAUGAGAGAAUAAUGAGAUUGGUUUGCUAUUUAUAAUGUAUUAAUAUUCAUACAAGGUGUGUGUUUAGAGCCUUAGCUUGCUUAGUAGCUGUAAAAUGUAAUAGCUAGUAAUAGUUUUCUUAAGGCAACGUAACCUUAGAGUCAUCUUGCAUGAAUGUAAGCUGUUCAGAAAUAAAUAAAUAAAGGCUUAAUUGCACUUUUGGAAAGAUAGGGGUCCAAAAGUGCAAUUAAGCCAUAAAUAAAUGCCUAUCUGUCUAUAUAACUAACUUAUACCAACCUAUCUAUGCACCUAUUUCUAUUUAUUUAUAACUAAUUUAAUAUGAGUUCAACAUAAUCUAAAUUUGUUUUGAAUUCUUUUAAUAAUGCUUUUACUGAUAUUCUUACGUAAGAAUAAAAUUAGAUUAUUAUGAUUUACUUAUACCAUACAUAUUUCUUUCAAGUAUUAAAUGCAUAUAAGUUUUCUUCUAAACAAAUUAACAUAUCUUACCCUAUCGUAUCUUGAAUUUUAAAAAUUUGACAUUUCUCUAUCGUUUCGCACCCACACUCGUACUCUGUAUCCAGAUUUCAUAGCUCUAAGUUUAGUUGUUGUGGAGUAUAUUUUAUCGGUAUGCAACCUAAAGCUCAAUGUAUCUAUCAUUUCAUUGACACUAUAAAUGGCAAACCAACCCCCUUAUAUUCUCUUAUUCCAAAUCGAAUUUUGAAAGAUGAGGAUCAUUUACAUUACUCUUUUCUAUUUUUCUCUUCUCUUAUCAUAUGCCUCUUAUGCUACUUCAGUCAAUGAUUUCUGUGUUGCAGACUUACAGCUUCCAAAUACCCCUUCAGGCUAUCCAUGCAAGUCAGAAACAAAUGUAACAGUGGAUGAUUUUUUAUUCUCCGACUUUGUACCUAGAAACACAAUAGACCCUUUUAAUGUUAGAUUAACCACUGCAUUCGUCACUAGUUUACCAGGUCUUAAUGGACUUGGUAUCUCCGCAGCAAGGGGGGACUUUGGCUUAAAUGGAACUGUUCCAAUGCAUUUUCAUCCUGAUGCAAAUGAAUUGCUUAUCGUAGUUAAAGGCCAGUUAACUGCUGGAUUUAUUACACCAACAAAAGUUGAUUUGAAAACUGUUAAACCUGGUGAUAGUUUAGUUAUUCCAAAAGGACUUUUACAUUUUGGAGUUAACACUGAUGUUGGAAAUGCUAUUGCUUCUGCUUUUUUCAGUAGCUCAAACCCUAAAAUGGAAAUACUUGAUUAUCUAUUAUUUGGCAACGAUUUAUCAACUUCAAUAAUCGCAAACCCAACUUUACUUGAUGUGUCACAAAUUAUUAAGCUUAAGGCUCAGUUUCGUGGCAGUGGCUAAGAUUUCUUAUGAAUCCACUUCUAUGUUUGCUCCAAAUUUAGUUAUGUCAACAAUAUGUAUGUGUUUGGUUUUUGUGUUUUUAUGUCAAUUUUCAUUUUAUUUAAUAAAGCAAGAGAGUAUAGUAUGGUUCCUAAUUUUUACAUUGUAUCAACGGUUUUUAUCUUUACCAACCAUUUGCAUGUCAUCAAGACUCGAUAUUAAGGAGCUAGGAUUUUUUCUUUUUAAACAAAAAGGGAGCAAAUGGAAGCCCAUUUGCUAACCCAUAGAUAGACUAAACGUAAAAAGUACAAGCAACUGGGGGCGUAAACCUGAUCCAGUGGAUUAGGCAUGCAUUUUAACCAGGAACAUGAAUUGGGAAUUUUUCGCCUAGUAAUAAUGUACCAUAAAUUCAAUGACUUGGCAUUGCGACAUUUAGGUAUGUUGUAUUAUUAUGUCCAGUACUUAUUGUUUGACAGAUUAAAAACACCCUUAGUAGCAUAAUCCACUGUUAACUGUAAUAAUUAGCCAUCAUGCAUGUAUUAAAUAUAUUCGACUUUUAUAUUUGUUGAUAGCGAUGUCAAAGUGGACCGCCAAAUUCGACCAAAGUUUUAGACUUUUUUGGAAGUUGCUUCUUCAUAGGGUUCCUAGCCACCAAAAUAUCUUUCGUUGUAGGUUUAUCCUUGAUUUGAGUGGCUUAUCAUGUGUGUUUUGUGGGGUAUUAGUGGAGUACGUUAGGUGAUCACUUUAUGUCAUUUGUGAUUUCGUUUUCAAGGUGUGGUAUAGUGUUUGUAGCUGGUUAGGUUGAGAAUUGGUUUUUUCUCUGAAUUUGGCAGGGCUUUUCACAGUUUUUUGGUCUAUAAGCGACAAGUCUAAGAUUUAGGUUUGAUUUUGGUCAAACAUUUUGUUUUGUAGUCCAUAUAGAAGGUUUGUAAUGACCUUAAUUUUUUUAGGAAGGCAACAGUGUUGGAACAAAAUUCAAUUUUUACAAUGUCUCUGAAGUUUUGAUGAUAACAAAGUAUUGAAGAACUAUUUUAUAUGCUAAUAUAUGUUUAAGUGUGCACGACCAUAGAUUAAAAUUCAUCAAGGUCUGAACAUGUAUGAGAGCAUCAGAAGCACAAGUAAAUUUGAAAACUUAGAUUAGAUCCUGAAGAAGCUUGACCUGACUCUUAAGGCUAUCAGACUCUGAAGGAUAGAAGACUCUGAGUCUUCUAUCCUUCAGAGGCAUAACAAAGUAAAUUUGAAAACUUAGAUUAGAUCCUGAAGAAGCUUGACCUGACUCCGAAGGUCAUCAGACUCUGAAGGAUAGAAGACUCUGAGGAUUUGCAAACACUCUGAAGGACAUGUCAUACUUUGUCUUCUUCUCAAGAUGUCCCUAUCAGACUCAGAUAGUACAGUUUUUCUUCUUCUGAAUCAUGUGCUAAGUCAAAUUCAAGGACAAAAGGAAUGAAACAGAUAAUUCUAUUUGCAGCAAUAGAUUUUGAAUGUCUUUUCAAAUGGUAUUAACCAUAUCAUGCAACAUUCCAACAUCUUGAUUUGAUUGCUUCUCAAGGACUCUUAAUACGCUGACACUUCUCCAACGUCUCUCAAAUCCUUCCUUAUAUAAGAAGUUAAAGACUUGAAACAUAACAAGACUCUGCAAUUUUAACUUGGGCCCUUACUUUGUCAAAUUUUGAAGUGCAUAAACACUUAAGAAUUUCUUACUAAGUUCAGAUCUUAGAAAAUUCUAAGAGUCAUACUAUGUUUUGAAGUUGAUUACACCUCUUAUGCUACUUCUGUCAAUGAUUUCUGUGUGGCAGAUUUACAGCUUCCAAACACUCCUUCAGGCUAUCCAUGCAAGUCAGAAACAAAUGUAACAGCAGAUGAUUUUGUGUUCUCUGGCUUUGUACCCGGAAGCACAAUAUUAGACCCUUUUAAUGUUACAUUAACCACUGCUUUUGUUACUAGUUUACCAGGUCUUAAUCGACUUGGUUUCUCUGCAGCAAAGGGAGACUUUGGUAUAAAUGGAACUGUUCCAAUGCACUUUCAUCCUGAUGCGACUGAAUUGCUUAUCAUAGUUGAAAGCCAAUUAACUGCUGGAUUUAUUACACCGGCAAAAGUUUAUUUGAAAAUUGUUAAACAUGGUGAUAUUGUAGUUUUUCCAAAAGGACUUUUGCAUUUUUUAGUUAACACUGGUGUUGGAAAAGCUGUUAUUUUUGCUGCUUUAAGUAGCACAAAUCCCACCAUGCAAAUACUUGAUUAUCUAUUAUUUGGCAACGAUUUAUCAACUUCAAUAAUUGCAAACACUACUUUACUUGAAGUGUCACAAAUUAUGAAGCUUAAGGCUCAGUUUGAUGGCCGUGGCUAAGAUUGCUUAUGAAUCCACUUCUAUGUUUGUUCCAAAUUUAGUUAUGUCGGCAAUAAACUUAUGUAUGUGUUUCGUUUUUUUGUUUUUAUGUCGAUUUUCAUUUUUUAAUAAAGCAAGAGAAAAGUAGGGUUCUUAAUUUCUUAUAUUAUAUAUCAACUGUUUUUAUUUUUACCAUCAAUUUAAUUUAAUUUGCACUAGAUUUAGACCCACCUGUUGCGCGUGCAUGAGUUUGUCAUGUCCUCUUUCUCUGACUCUUCCUAACUAAUUUCGACUUUUUGGGUAUCAUCUUCCUUUAAAUCCACUUCCUUACUUGUUGGAUGUGGUGGUGAGAUGGAGAAAAAGUUACUCUUGACAUGGUAGAAGAAGACACAAAACCAGCAACUGUAAAACUCUUCAGCCAUUAAGAAGAUUCUACAGUAAUAACAAAGACAAUUGAAAUGAAAUACUUUUAAUGGCUACCUAUGUUUAGCAGAAUGCAUUAUCAUAUGCUCAUGUGGUGGCAUAUAUGCAAUAUAUCAAUUAGCUUAAGAUAUUCAAAAUUUACUGCAACUGCAACAUAAGAUGUGAUUUUACUAAGCUCUUCUUGAUAUAGUAUGUAAAAAUGAUGCUAAUCACCAAUUUGAAUACCAGAAACAAGAUCUCUCCUGAAUAGGGUUGGGAAUAGGCCAGGCCGGCCUAAAGGGGCCUAUGGCCUGGCUUGUUUAAGCCUAGCCUAGCCUGUUUAUUAAAAAGACUAGGCUUAGGCUUUUUAGUGACUUUAAUAGUAAGUAGGCCUGUAAAUAGGCUUUCAGGUCAGGCCAGACAUUUAAAUAGGCCAGGACAGGUCAAAAAAAUAGGCCUAUGAAAGGCCAUAUGCCAGGCUCAGGCCUGCAAAUUUUUUCGUAGGCUAGGCUCAGGCCUAUUAAAGUCUGGCCUGGCCUGGCCUAUUCCCAACCCUACUCCUGAAUCAAAUAUAUAUUUGUUGAAGUCAAAUUGAACAAUUACAACUAGUCUGGAUAAAUGAAAUAAGUAACCAUGAGUGGGAAGAGGGAUUAUAAUGAACAUUGAACGAAACUUUUUUUAUUACAUACUUGAAAGCAGACUUGACGACGUUAUUGAAUAGAGGAGGGGGCGACUUUUUGAAAAAUCGAGAGGGUGUGAAUGUUUUUAAAGAAACUUUAGGGGAUAUCAAUAUAUUUCUCCUUUUUUACUAUUAUUUGUGUUUGAAUUAUUCUAUUGCAUUAAAUUGCAAAGAAAUAUAGUCCCUGAAAAAUGUAUUUGUACCAUAAUCUCAAAUUAUUAUGCACAAAAAAAAAAGUUAGAGAUCAAACCAUUGAGUACUUGGUUAAGAGACCUAAAUCCCUUAACAUUUGGAGCAAUUCAUCGUUGAUACAAUUAAUUUAAAGAAACUCUUGCUUACAUCCAUAGGAAUUUUGAUCCCCCUAUAUGUCACUACAUACAAUGAAUAAAUCAAACUUGAAGUUUUUCGUCAACUUGUUCUUGUUUUGCCUUGGUGGAAUUACCUCAUAUAAAAUUAAUAUUAAAAUUAUUAUAUACAUCAUAUAUAUACUUAUAUAGAGUGUGAGACUCGUAAACUUGCAUCAAACUACAUCAAAAAAACAACCAAAAAAAUAUAUCCAAAACAUCAAAAAACACGCUUCAAAUUGUAAAUGGAUGUGUCCCAAUUCUAGAAUUUGAACGCCAAAAACAUGCUUCAAAUUCUUAAAAUUUUGACAUAGUCACUUUUGGAAAAGCGAGUGCACGUGAGACAUGUGGAGAGGUGAAAAAUUCUCGAAAAGAAUUGAAUUAAAAAGAGGUUCAUAUUAGAACGCGAAAUAUAUAUAGGGUGGGGGAGAAGUGUAGGUAGGGGAUAAGGAAUUCACUUGUUUUCAAGCAUGUUAUUAAGAUGCUUGGAUCAUUUUAAAACAAGGGUCUAGCAAGCCAAACUAUUUAGCCAUACCAAAAUUGGCAUUUGGAAACAUUAAUUAAUAGAAAUAGAUACAUAGAUAGGUUGGUAUAAAUUAGUUACAUAGAUAGUACAUUCAUAGAAAUUAAGCAAGCUACAAGGCUAUAUGCACCUUGUAAGAAUAUUAACACUAUAAAUAGCAAAGCUAUCUAUUAUUCUCUUAUCCCACAUCCAAAAUAUUUAAAGAUGAAGAUGAUUCAAAUUAUUCUUUUCUUUUUAGCUCUUAUCUCAUAUACCUCAAAUGCUAUUGAUUCUGAUGAUUUCUGUGUAGCAGACUUAUCGUUUCCAGACACCCCUUCGGGCUAUCCAUGCAAGUCGGAAAACAAUGUAACAGCUGAUGAUUUUGUAUUCUCUGGCUUAAAUAUAGCUGCAAACACGUCGACAAACUCUUUUAAAGUUGCAUUUACCACUGUAAAAGUCGAUAAGAUACCAGGUCUCAAUGGACUUGGUAUCUCUGUAGCAAGAAUAGAUCUUGGCUUCAAUGGAAGUGUACCAAUGCACACUCAUCCUGGUGUAGGCGAAUUUAUAAUCGUCAUUCAAGGUCAAAUGACUGCUGGAUUUAUCACACCUAAAAAAGUUUUUAUGAAAACUCUUAAUCCUGGUGAUGUUUGGGUUUUUCCAACAGGACUUUUGCAUUUUAUUCUUAACACUGGUCCUGGAAAUGCUGUUGCUUAUUCUGCAUAUGCUAGCUCAAAUUUCAACACUCAUUUAACUGAUUUUUUGUUAUUUGGUAACAACUUAUCAACUUCCACGGUUCAAAAGACUACUUUUGUUGAUCCUGCACAAAUUAUGAAGCUUAAGGUUAAUUUUGGUGGUAGUGGCUAGGAUUGGUUGCUUAUGAAUCAUCCACUUCUAUCUUUGUUUUAAAUUAAUAAGUUAUGUCAGCAAUAAAAACACAUGUGUGUUAUGUUUUUAUGUUUUUAUUAUUUCAAUUUUCAUUUUAAUAAUACAAGAGGAUGGUAUGGUUCUUAAUUUCUUAUUAUUUCAAUAAAAACAUAACACACAUGUGUGUUAUAUUUUUAUGUUUUUAUUAUUUCAAUUUUCAUUUUAAUAAUACAAGAGGAUGGUAUGGUUCUUAAUUUCUUAUCUAAUCUCAAUGGUUUUCCCUACAUAAUACAUAGACAUAGUUGCAUACAUAUAUCCACCUAUAUAAGCAUAUAUUUAUUGAUUAUGAAUGUGACACUAAAAAGAUUUUGCAUCUCAUGUAGUAAUCUCAUUGUUAUUUUUAUUAAAUGGUCAAUGUUGAUAAUUAAUUAGUUUUUUCUCCUUUGUUCGAGUUUGAACUCAAGACUUCCAACUCCUUAUUGUUAGCUCAAACUAGUUGAGAUAUCCAACCCCUGGUAUAAUCAUCUCGUAUUAUAUAUCUUACAUCAUAAAUAAAUAAACAAAUAAAUAAAGGAAAAGAGAAAUGAUAUUUGUACAUCCACUUUAUAACAACUUUCUCUCUCAUACUCACAUUAUGUUUUUAUUCUCUCUCUUCCUUUUUCUCUCUCCAUUGUUUUUACCAAUGAAAAGUGAGAAAAAAUAAUUUGUACCAAAAGUUAUCUAAAAUGGUUGUUCAAAUAUCACUACUGAAAGGAAAAUUAUACAAAUGUGACACAGAAUUCUGUGACAGCAGGGACAUGCUGGGAAUCUAAUAAAUAAAUUACUAACAAAUUUAAGAUAUAUGGUUUACAUUGUUUAUAAGCAAAAUUAAUGUUUGGCGAAGUGGUUGAAUAUAAUUGUUAAGAACAAAUAUCAUAAUCUCCACAUAAAUAAUUAUAGGCUAAAAUAUGGUUUUGGUCCUUGCAAAUAUGCCUCGUUUUGGUUUUAGUCCCUGCAAAAAAAAAUUGUUGUUUUUGGUCCCUGCAAAUAUGUCUCAUUUUGGUUUUGGUCCCUGGCUCCACUUUUGUGAUGAUUUGCACACGUGGCACAUGAUGACUGAACCCAUUUAUUAGAGAAAUAGUCCCUGCAAAAUCUUUUGAUUUUGAAAAAGGUCCCUGCAGGGACUAUUUCCAAAAACAAAAUAUUUUACAGGGACCAAAAACAAUAAAAAAAAAUUUACAGGGACUAAAACCAAAACGAGGCAUAUUUGCAGGGACCAAAACCAUAUUUUAGCCAUAAUUAUAUUACACAUUUUAGAACGCAAAAUAGAUAUAAUCCUACAAUUCUUAUCCUCUGCUUGCCUACACAAAAUAAGGAUCCUUAAUUGCUUAUUUUUUUCCCUUAUUAAUCACUCAUUUUCCUAUUUUAUAGGAUGCAAAGUAUUACAAAAAACCAAUACGGUAAAAGAUGUACUCCAAUGAGUACAACUCAUAUGGUAAAAGGUUGCAUGGACAUUUGAUAUGUUAUUGCGAAUUUGAACUUGCAUUUCUCCACUACUUAGCAGUGUGUGUGAGUUUCGCCACUAAACUAUUUAAAAUAAAAUUAGACUCACUAAAAAAUGUCUAUCAUUUAAACAUGUAUUUUGUCAACUUAGUUAUUUAGCAUGACGCAUGCAUUUUACAUCUCUUAUUCCAGUAAGUGCCAAAAUUAAAGUGAACGGACUUAAAAUGAUAGGAGUAGCAUCUAAAAUAAAUAAAUAGAGACUGAUACAUAUGAUAUGACAGGAACCAAAAGCACUAUUAACUCUAAAUUAAAAUUUUAUAGAUCAGGCGACAACACUUCGUCCACAAACACGCUUGACGCUACAAUCGAUCAAAGAUCCUCUAGGACUGCUUGAAGAAAAAAAAAGGAUCAUCACUCCAAAAAUACAUUCCAAAGAGAGAGAUAGAUACAACUGGUGAAGGAGGGAGAAGGAUGGAAAGGAAUCAUCAGUAUAGAUAAUAGCGAAAUAGAUAAAAUCUUUUCGUCUGCUACAUGCUCUGAAAGAGAGAAUUUUUUAAAUUCCAAAAAGGACAACAUACAUAGCUAAACAAGGCUAAUUAAAGUUUAAAACACUAGAUAAAAAAAUAAAAAAAUAAUGUUACUAAUAAAUAUAUUUAUUAAAAUGCAAGAAAGGACACAUUUCUGAAACUACAUUCACUUCCUUAUCAACUUUGCUCUACCAAACCCCUUUGAGAUUUGAAGUCGAUCUGUUAUACCAAGAUGUGCCAUAAGAAGCCAUACAUGUGUUAAUAAUUCACCACCAUGCCUUAGAUGUUGAGCAUGAUGAAUUACCUGACAAUGGCAAGCAGCAUAAGCUAGCAUUUCAACCCAAACUUGAGUUAUAAACUUCCACAUCUCUUUUGUCUCCCAUUCUACAUCAUCAUUCCUUAUCUCCCUUACAUUUUUAGCCAACCUGAAUGCAUCAAAUAGUACAGAUUUGCUUCUGUCACCUUUCACCUUUGAAGGACUAACUUUAUCGAUAUCUCGGCUCACUUUGUGUAGUAUUCUACACACUUGCUUCUCAUCUUGUAUAGAAUGCCUAUCCUUCACAAAUUCAGUUGCCUCAGCACAUGUAUCUUGGAAUCUUAUCUCACCAAUUCCAUUAGGCAACAUAGAUGGUCUCAUAACAAGAAGAUAUAACAUAUACUCUGAUAAACAUUUGCUUGCUUCUUUAUAACUUAAAACCCUUCCCUUUUCCAAAACUUCUUCGUCUGAUUCAGAAUUAUAACAUAUAUUUGUUGCAAUAUGCCAUAAAAUAAUGCUUUGAUCAAAUUCUACCUCCACACUCCAUCUUAAUUUCCUUAUCAUUGUCUCCACCUUCUCCUCGUCCUCAAUUUGUGCCUUUAGCUCUGAUUUUAAUCUUUCCAAAACUUUGUCACCCCUAUGGUUACAAAAUCUUGUGAUAUUUUUCGCAAACUCAUCUUCUCCCAUGUUUAUCCCCUCUUUUAUUUUAUCCACAAAGUCUUCAAAGAUUAUUUCCUUCAGAUCAUCUGUAAUAGCAAUGUAAAAGUUAGUCAGAAAAAUUACCUUCAAUGGUCUUUUUAGAGAAUCGAUAAACUAACUACCUACCAACAAACUCUAACUAACUUCUAUAUUUCUAUUACCUUCGACGGUCUUUGUAUUUGUGUGCUUGUACUUCUGAUAGGACAGCCAAGCACCUGUAAUUAUUUUAGCAAGAGCACACUUUGCUGCUCUCUUUUUGAAUGCUUUUCCAGUACUAGAACCAAAUUUGAGUCUUAAAAACUUGCCAACGUUGCUGUGUCUUUCUUUUCUAGCCUUCGAUAUGCAAAAGCUUAUGAGGUUGAAUUGACCGGUGCUGCAUGACCAUCUCUUCUUAUACUUGACAGAUUGAAUUAAUGAAAUUACCUUACUACUUACCUUAUUCUUGUGCAUACUCAACCAAAGAAUUGUCCAGUCAGAAAACAGCACCAAAAUUACUGAAUAUAUUUCAAGGAUGAUAGCUCCAAUAAGCAACACACUCGUGAUGAACACAUCCAUUUUUGGAUAUUGAUUCUUCUCCAUGACAAAGAAAACAGAUAACACACUAAUAGUACAAGAUAAAGUGACAAAACGAAGAAAACAACCCACCAAAGAAUAAACAGUCGCGGCCUUUGUGUAGAACACAUCAUACAUAAAACCAAGCUCAAUUUCCAUAACUUCAAACCCUUUCUUUCCAUUUCCACUCAAUAGAGAAGAUCUGCUUUCCGAAACAUCUUGAAAACUCAAGAUGAGAUCUGCAAACAGAAGCUUAGAAAUCUUCAAGAAUUUGUGUGCUUUUCUUACAGUUAUUGCAGGACCAUAUAUGUCAUGAUCAGUUUCUGGCAAUGGGAUGUUGAUGUCACCUUGCGAAGGUGCGUGAGUAUGAUCAACACCAGUACCACCAGCUGCAGGAGUUUGAAUCAGGCCUUGUACAUCAACAUCAUACCCUUCAUAAGAAGCUGAAUUGUAUGCUUCCAUAUAUCUUGCAUAAUUAGGCCCUGAAUCGGGAUCAGGAAACAAAGACUCUUUGAAUUGUUGGCUACUUGCACACCACAAAACCCAAAUCCUUUCUCCGAUUUUGAUAAAACCGGCAAUGAAUAUCGGUACUGCCAAAAUGUUAAGAUCAGCAUUUGUCCAUGAUCUAAGAAAGGUUAAAAAUGCAACCACAACUUGUCCGAUAUAAGUAACCAAACGCCUACUCCAAAGUGCAUUGUCUUCCAUAGAGUAAGCAGUAAUAGUAUCAGAACCACCAAGGUGAAUGAGAAGAAGUGGACCCCACAAAGCGAUAAUGACAUACUUUGGUUCCACAAAAUCAUCUUUGUUUUCUCCCUCUUUACUUGAAAGAACACCAAGUGAGGUUGUUGCAAACCAAUCUGCAAACAAAUAAGCAGACCAUAGUAUGAUUCUAAGAUAGAUGCUUGUGUAGAACUUUCUCUUGUUUCCAAACAAUAAGAGAAUGCAUUGGAUGCCGAGGCUUAACACAACCAUAAAACGAAGAUUCCAAUUGCUCCAAAAUUUCUGUAAACUUUCUGGAAAAAUAUGCAUCAUGCCUCUCCUCUGUGUCAAAGCUAAACUGCUAAGAACUGAAAUCAAACAACCAACCAUACAUGAAAAGGUAGAGAUUAAUUUAAGCUUUCAUUUUGGAACUAUAUACAUUACCAAAAACUGUGUGCAAAAUGUAUGUAAUGAAGGUAAAAGGAAAAGGAAAAAAAAAAAGUAAAUAAGUUGAAGUCUUACUUGUAACCAGCAUCCUAGAUUAUUUGUUUUGUACUAUGUUGUCUUCAAAUUGCAUUGUACUGCUAAAAAGAGAAGGCUACUUAGGAAUUGACUUGAGAGUGUUUUCUUCUAUAAAUUGGUUAUCUUUUACUCAACUUUUACAUUAAUUUUUUUAAUGAAAACAACUUAAACAAGAAAGAUUGGCCAAAGGAGUCAUAGACUUAUAGCACAAUCAAAAUCACCAUCUUACCAUUAUAUUAGUUUUCAAAUGGUUCACAUAUAAAACAUAACACAUCUUACCAUUAUUAAUAUAUGUUAUAUAGGUUUACAAAAUACUUCGAUAUGCGAUGAGAAAAAAAAAAGACUUAGAAAGUAAACGAUUAGACUUUGAUUAAUCAAAAAUAUAAAUAAUUUCGUGUGAACAUUGUACACAUGCUCCUAAAAAUAUACUAGUAUUAGUCUAUGGUUAUCCAAUCUUCCAAGUUGUCUUGAGUUUUUUAAUUAGUAAUCCACAGCUCACUCAGAUAUGCAUUCUCAUAUUUAAUACAACUUUUUUUUUUUUUAACCUAUCGAAUCUACUAUGAGACUAAUCUUUGAGAAUUGGCAGCAAGACAUUUGAUAUUGUUUAUUUUAGAAGACUAUGCUAUUCUCAAAUGGCAGGACACUAGGAAUGAAACUAAAAGAUUCUUUUCUCACGGAGAGUCGUGUUAUUAUCAAUUCUACAAUUACCAUGCUGAUACACCUUGUUGAAUUUUUUUAACAAAGAUAACAAUCUCAAUUUUUGAAUUAAAUGCAUUUUUAAGGGGACUUGAAUGCAUUUUUAGUUUCUCUAUUUUACUCAAAUAUGUGUUAGUCCCUUCAUUUUUAAAAUUGCAUCUUUGUCCCCUCUACUUCACAACUUUUAAGAUCAUCCUUGUUAAAUUUUAAUUUUUUUUUCAUGUGGCAUCAUCACUUUAAACAUGAUGCCACAUUAUUUCUAUGUCAAAAAUAGAGAAGUCAAUUCAUUAGUAUGUCAUAAUGAUGAGGUCACAUCAACAAAAGUUGUUAAACAAGGGGAAAAAAUUUAAUUUUAACAUGUGAGGACUAAAGCUUUAAUUUAGACAAAAUAAGGGUUUCAAGAGUGAAUUUAACCAAUUCGGGUGUCUCAAAUGUUAACUUCAAAUUUUUCAUAUUUUUUACAGAUCUGAUUAAUUGAUCAAUCUAAACAAAUCUCGCCCGGAUUGAUCAAUAGGGAGAGAAUAAAAACUAAAAAGAAAAUUGGGAGCUUUUAAGAACCUUGGGUAAAAAUCUCAAGUAAAUUUGCAUUGUAAUUAUCAUAUACGGCUACAACUCCUGUUGCACCUUUCUUGUUUCUAACCCAGUUGCAUAUUAAUAUGGUGUGCUAUUUGAAUGAUCAUUUGCAUGAUAACUUAUAGGAUAACCAUAAACUUGCAAAGAAAAAUAGAUAUUGACAUGAAAACUAAAAUAAUAUAGAGAUAAAAUAAAAACAUAAUAUGAGUAUGAGAAAAUUGUCACAAAUUGAUUGUACAAAUAUGUUGCUAUUUAUUUUAUAUUUGCCAAAGUCAAUACCUGGUUCGUGGAAACAAACCAAGUACUUGGUAGAAAUCUCUUCACGUGAAACAGCAAGAUUCUAGAUCACCAGAGAAUAGAUCCGCUAAUAACUUAAGUCAAUGGAUUAUGGUAUAGAAAGAAAAAAAAAAACAUGUGUAUGAAUCAUCUCAAUUUUCUUAAAAUUGUUCACACAUAUUUAAAAAUUAAUAAACUAAAUUAAGUAACAGGAGGCACAUUUUACUUGAUAAUUUUAUAUUUGCACAAUAACAGCCAAAUGAUGUUUCAGCAAGAGAGGAAGGAUAGUGACUUACCAAUCUGGACUAGAAAAAUGUUGUCAGCCUGGAAAAUCCUUCCAAACUACUAUGUUGUCUAAGUUGACCCCAUGUAUGGUUUUGUCCAAAAAUUCACCAGAAAUUCAUUUCCAUAUUUACAGAAAGCAGUGAGUCGGUUUUUUCAAAGGGGACCGACAAAAUAUCAACAGAAGCAACUGACAGCAAGUGCUGAUUGCCUUCUGCGAGAAACACUUCUGUUUCCUUAAACGAGGAAAAGAGAACACCAUGGUUAACAUUGAGAUUUAUAUCGUUGGGAUUGUUUUCUGGACUGCAACUGCUGCACUAUCUGUGUUGGCGUUUAUAUCACUACGCUUGGAUUAUCUUCUCUCCGAAGGUGAAGAUAAAGUUGAGUGGAUAGAAAGAAAAUUGAAGUUACUAAAAGCUCUCUUAGAGGAUCAUAGUCAACUUGUGAAGAAACGAGAAGAAGCAGAAUCACGAGUCCGUUCUUUCUGGGAUAUAGAAAACUUGUCUGAAAUUCAUCAUCAGCUAAGUAUAGCUGAGAGUGAAUGGAUAGAAUCAACAAGAGAUGUUGUCAGUAAAGCAGAAGGUUGUGUCGCCGAGUACAAAAAACAAAGCCCGGGAUUGUUUUGGAGUGCUAUUACAGUUAUCUUUAGAUUGAUGACCAUUAAAGAUGUUCUCCGACAAAUAGAUGAUGUUGAAAAUGAGCUAACACUUAGUUUUGAAAAGAGAAAUGAAAAUGCCAAAUACAUCCAUAUGUCAAUGGAGAAAUCAAGGUCAAAGAGUAGAAGUCUUCUGGAUCAAUUUACAUUUGAAGAGGAGGAUAGAUCUGUAGCUAGAGAGGUCCACACAUCUGUAGCAGCUCAAAACCAAAUGCAGAAAAAGCCUUCAAUAAGUUUUGAUCAAUUGAUGAAUAAGAGCGUGGCAAUGGACCUAUUUUCUGGCAUGGAAGAGAGAUGGUCGAUAUACCUUCUACUUCCACUGCAUGCUUUCCUGAAGGAUUUGCGUCAGCUUCAGUUAAUAACAGAAACUGAAAAGCAAUGGAAAACAGUAGCUGGAGAAAUAAUUGAAGAUGCAGAGAUCUACAUUAGCAACUACUUAUGGUGGUUUGAAACUUUCGGCAUACUGAAGAAAUCCAAGAUGAACAUUCCAUUAAUUACAAAUCAUUUCAGAAAGGAUAUGAAGCUCAUUGUAACUGGGUUUGAGGAUCUUCUCAAGUACAACUUAACUUUCAUUGACAGAGCUGCAGAAAAGUCAACCUUCCACCCUAUUACAGAUGACAGAGAAAUUGCAUCAACCAUUGCAAGCAUUGAAAGCAAGCUGAGAGAUAUGGACACAAGCUCACAGCAAGUGGCUAAAGAGAACUUAAAGUGUGAUAAAUUGAAAGAAAUGCAUAAGCAGCUUAAGGAAGCAGAAAAAACAGAAGGGCGAAAUGCUUGUGUAAAGGAACUAAAGUCCAUCACUCAGAAGCUGGACAAUUUGCUGGACAAUUUUCAAGAAUGGAAUGUGACUGAACCUGUGGAAUAUCAAAGUGAGAUAGGAAAUGCUAUCAAUCUUCUUCAGAAUUUAAUAAAAACUUGCACCAUCAAAAGACAGGAGUCAACCAAAUUAGUUGGUUGUAAAAAAGAAGAGCAAGAUUUGGUCUCAAAGUUGACCUCAGGGAGUGGUAGUAAUCCUUCCGCACUUUCCAUUGUGGGGAUGAAAGGUGUGGGGAAGACAACUCUGGCAAAGGUAGUUUAUUACAACAAAGAUAUAGUCGAGCACUUCCCUGUCCGUGUCUGGGUGACAGUAACUGAAGGAGCAGUUAACAGAGCAAAAGCUCUGCUCAUGAAAAGGGAUGGGACUAAAGACCAGACAUUGUAUUUGAUCAAUGUAUGUGAUCAAUUGAAAGAGAAGCUAUGCCUUGUCGUUCUCGAUAAUGUCUCAAAAACAACAGAUUUAGAUAAGCUAUAUAGAUUAUUAUAUGGAUCUGGAUGGACAGAUGGGAGCAGGAUAGUGCUGACAACACGCUUUAAGGAUGUGGCUUUGCAUGCCAACAACAGUAGCACCCCUCACCAUAUUCGACUGCUAAUGAAGGAAGAGAGUUGGAUGUUAUUUCAGAAGGUGGCCAGCAGAAGGUUAGAACCAAAAGAGGAAAGUUUAGCAAAAAAGUUAGUGGGAAAAUGUGGGGGCUUACCAUUGGCCAUCUUAUCUCUUGGGUGUGUCAUAUCAGCGAAUGGUACAACUCCAACGAGUUUAUCAUGGGUGCUUGACCAAAUCAAUCAUGGCCAUUUCAAAAAAUAUUGGCUGCAACCAAAAGAUAACAGGGAAGAGUUGAGUAAUACUAUGAGGGACUGUCUCUAUUGCUUUACAAACUUCCCAUUAGACUAUGAAAUCCCAGCAAGGAGAUUAGUCAAUCUAUGGGUUGGAGAAGGAUUGGUACAACAAAACAACGGAAAGACACCUGAAGACACUGCAGAGAGUUAUCUAGAAGAGUUGAUAGACAGCAACAUGAUUCAAGUAGUGGCACUAAAGGGAAAUGGAAAGAUUAAGACAUGCCGCCUGCCGAGUAUGCUCAGAGAAAUCAUCUUGCAAAAUAACAACAGAACAAGCCAAAGUCGGUACUGGGGUACACAUUUAGAGCGGCGAAUUUCCUAUCAUUUUUACGAUCAUGGCCUUAAUGAAAACUCGGCCCAAGCUUUCAGCAAGAAAGGAACUCCCCUGUCUGUUCUUUUCUUUGACAAGCGAGAGGGAUGUAAACCAGGAGAACAUGUAGGUAAGAUCCUUUCAACGAGCAUUGCAGAUCAGCAGUUCCUAGAGACCAGAGUUCUUGAUCUUGAAUGCAUAUUCAGACCACAGUUGCCCAAGACUUUAAGUAAGCUCAAUAAUCUGAAGUAUCUUAGCUUAAGAUGGACUUACUUGGAGGAAUUACCCCCAUGCAUAUGCAAACUUCAGGAGCUGGAAACACUAGAUUUAAAGCAUACAUGUAUCAAUUACAUCCCUAGGUCAAUCUGGGAAUUGAAAAAACUGAAGAAAUUAUAUCUACCCCAAAAUUAUCGAAGUAAACUUGAGGGCAAGCCGAGGGGACACUUUAAUGAAAUUCUUCACAUACUAUGGGGUGUGUUCUUGUAUGGGAACUACCCUCUUCUUCAUUACCUUCACAAGCUGAAGAACCUUCAAAAAUUAAAAUUAGCUUUCCAAUUGAAAAUAUCAGAGCAAGAGACACUUGCAGAGAAGAUUGUGAAGCUUGAACAACUUCAUUCACUGACACUCAAAUCAGUGGAUGAAACUGGUGAUCCUAAAAAACUUAAAUGGAUUAAUAUGUCAAAGCUGGAUAAUCUCUCGUCCCUCCGUUUGUUUGGCAAAUUAGAAGACAAAAUUCGUACAAGCCUCCUUCCUAUAAAUCUCACUGAACUCACCUUGACAGCUUCACAGCUAUCAGUUGAUCCGAUGCCACAGUUGCAGAACCUGAAAAAGCUUAAGUCAUUGUGUUUUUAUGCUGACUCUUUUAUAGAGAAGAGGAUGGUUUGUACCUCAAGAGGCUUUGAACAACUUCAAGUGCUAAGAUUCUGGAAUUUGGAGAGGCUGGAAGAGUGGGAUGUUAAGGAAGGAGCAAUGCCUAGCCUCAUGGAAUUUGAAGCCCGGUCCUGCAUAAACUUCGCAUUUCCCAGUGGAUUGAAGCAUGUGAAGACUAUUCGAACGAUAAAGUUACGUAAAAUGAAUAAUCCAUUCGUGAAAAACAUGUGGUUAUAUCGUAAGAAGGCGUUAUUGGUUAAUGUUGAGAUUAAUUAAGCUUGAUGGAUACUCAUUCUGGAUCAAAGCCUUCGAUUUCAAAGAGGUAUGCUUUCCCACUUCUGUCUUAAGUCUCCUAGAAUGAUAGUUUACUUCACUUCACUGCAACUUGUGACAGGCUUGUUCUCAUUUUUGUUAUUUGAAUAUGCAUCAGAACAAGACAGACAAGAAAUGUCGAGGGUGUUGGUGAAUUAAUAUUUUCAGUUUUCAAAGUAGCUCCAUGUUCCUUCUCAAACUGUCAAAAUAAGUGAAGGCCUUUUAAGUUAUGACUUUAUGAAGGCUCUCCAUGUAAGAUGUUAUGUUAUAUUGUUAUUUUCACUUUGUUUUCUGUGUUGUCAGUAAUUGCAUUGUUGUUUUAGAACAAUGUUAAUUUACAUGUCUAAAUUGUUGUAAACAAUUGAUGGAACGAUUGUUGUGUUAUUGAAUAAUAGUGUGGGUAUUUCGCAAUGGUGUUUAUUUCUAAGACUAUUCCAUUGCAAACAAUUCAUUGAAGAGAAGGAAAACAGUCUUGUUAAACUUUAAAGUAAGUGAAGGUUUAUCAACCCUCGUUUAAUUUUAAGUUUAUCAUGACCUUAAGCCAUUAGAAUUCAUAGGUAAAUAAAUCCUUGCUCACUUACUUCAGAGACAAUUUUGUUUCAAAAGUGUUUUAUUCCAAACAAAACCGAGAGGAUUCUAUCAUUUUCUGUUGUUACAUUUCAUGCUCUUGAAAUUACUAGAGGAAUAAAGAAAAAGUCUGAUUGCAUUGUUUUUAAGGAAAUGAUGUAAUAGUUACAAUUACUAGCAGCAAAUCUUAAUGCUAUGUUUGUUUGAACAUUUUAAAGGAGUUAUUAAGGGGAAGGAAUGGAACGAAGGUUAAUUACUCACACCAUCUUGUUAUCUACAUAAACCAAUCACUAAUCAUCUAUAUCAUAUCUGUAGUAUACUAUAUAUAAAGGAAAUAUCAAGUUUUGGUAUAGCCAUUUUUUACAAAUUGUAACUUUCAAUAUAUAACGCUUCAAACUUAAAAGAGGAACGUCAACAACACUGAGUUGUUAGUCAUAGUCAAGAAUUGGAUAAGAUCUGCAAUAUAUCUGAGUGAGAGACCGAUAGCUUAACAAGAAUUGUUUUUUAAAUAAAAGAGUUCAAAGCAGUGUACCAAAAAAAAAAAGGCAUUUCAUUAAUAGAUUAAUCAAAGGACCAAUUCAUUAAUUGAUGAGCCACUUGAUUCGCUUAUUUCCUAACAAACCUCAUCUCAAGAUUGGGAAACCUAACUAUAAUUCUUUUACAAUCAUCUACAUACAAUAGCUCCUAAUUCCAUAAUGUUAGAACUAGGGGAAUGGAUAAGAUCUACAACUGUUUUGCAAUCUGUUUCAGUGGUACGUCAUCCUAGUAGGCCCUGAGAUAGCCACUGCGGCGCAACUAAUAAACCGAAGUCUUCACCAAUAGGAAUCAAAAAGGCAUCGGGGAAUAGAGUACAUAUGUACAGGUUGAAAUAUAGAGCACUAUAUUUUGGUGCUUGUUUUUACUAUACAUCUUUUUUUAUUUCUAAUGAAUUUUCAUUUCAGAAUUAAAGUUUAUGCACAUUUACACUCGUUCUGACUCGAUGGACCAAAACUCAAUAUCAUAGAACCACAAAAAGAAAUUUUCAUUUUUCACGUCCAUGUCGAUAUUCGAUCUAUGUUCUUAUUCAUCUACCAGAUAACAUAAUAUGGCGGUAAGCAAGGGUUACUCAUUUAAUGCAAUCCCAAUAUGGUGCAGAAAAGGAAUUCGAUAAUUUUCUUAAAAAAGAAAAUGCAAAUGCACCUUGAGGCUUAGACCUCAUUGAUUUAAGAAAAUAUUUUCUGAUUUUUUUUUCUAUUUGUAACUAAUAAUUAUAGAAUUAACGCCUUGUUUGCAUCCAUUUUCUGUUUUCACCGUUUCCUAUAUGAAUCUCAGAAAACAGGGAAAAAAAUGAAAUAAUAAGGUGGAACGCUUUAUUUAAUUCUGAAGACAAUAUCAUAUUUCAGGCCCUUAUCCAACCAGUAACAUUUUCAAUAAUGCAAAGCUAAUACAAUUUUAAAAUUUUAAAUGAAUUUGGCAUACUGUUAUCUGAGUAGAGCACAACUCUUCCUUUAAAGCCUCGACUUCGAUUUUUGCGAUUCCUUAGACCAGUCUGGAGGAAGUAUUUUGUACUCUUGGACUUGCUCUGACUCCUUGCUUUCAUCUUCGCCAAGAAUGUCCUUAGAGAAUGCAUUUGGAUUGGCUUUUAUGCAACUCUGCAGAGCAAUAAAUGGAUUUACACAGUCCGAGCCCUGCAAAAUUGGAGCAAUAUCACAUUUCAACACUUGAUGAGAAUAUAAAUACAAUACCGGAAAAUAAAAUUAAAAGUGUUGCUACAUGAUUACUAAUCAUACUGAUGUUGCAACAGUAAGAUUCAUGUGCCAUUCUGUAGAAGAGCCAAACAACACAACAAUUGGAAGGGGAAAAAAUGACCACAACUUCCGAGUUGUUAGAUCUGUUCCAAGCCAUUUGCUUCAAAAAUGACAGGUACUAAAAAAUUUGACAAGUUUUAUCCAAAGACUCUGAAAGAAUCAGUAGAAAGACUGACAACAAAAUUGUGAAAAAAUUGAAUACAUAAUCUAGGGUUAUUUUUUAAUUGCAGUUUUAAAAACUGUAUUUCCAUUAAAAUUAAAACUUGUUUUCAAAACAAUUUUUCUAUUUAAUAAGAACCAAAAAACAAAAACAACCUAGAAUUGUUUUGUUUACACAUUUUAUUUGGUUGUGUUUUCUAGUCUGCCAGCAGCAGAUAACCUCCACCAUUACCACUCAGCAUCUGCUGCUGCCAAAUGCCCUCUAGUCUACCACCGCCAUUGACCCCUGCAUCCUUCUUUUUCUAAACAAAUUCUUGAAACAAAUUUUCCAGACAUGUUUUUUCUGUUUGCUCACCUCUGAAAUCAUUUUUCAAAUUAAUCUUAUCAAAUAGAAUAUUUUUGUUCCGAAAAGAAGUUUCUCAAAAUUAUUUAUAAAACCAUUUUCAAAAAAUAGAAAUAAGAACUCAAGCAAACAGGCCUCUUUGUUGCAAGGCUCCUAGGAUGUAAAUAACGUGUAACCAAAUUCAGUCCGCAGCCGUGACUGAGACUGUGAAAUCAAGAUUUUUUGAUAUAAUUACGGUUGCAAUUAUGGUUGCAUCAGCGGUAUUUGACAAUAAUUUUCCGUAAUAUUACGAACUGCAACUGAAACUUAAAACCUUGGGUGUAACCAAUAGUUGAAAAAACACUAUUAUAAUUAGGGUUUGGCCUAACUCAAUCUUACAAAACAGGCUUGUAAGGUGGAGGAUUGCCCUCACUUAUAAACCCAUGUUCAGUUCUAUAUCUUUUCCAAUGUGGGACUCUUAACAAAGCUUACGAUAACAGUGUUUCAAUUCAUUAGUCUCGCAACAAAUUGAUUAUGUAGAUUGUAGAGUUUUCAACAACCAACGGCCAAAUCAGUUGCACAUCACACUUCUACUGUACUACAUUGUACUGUAUCUAUCUCUUCUUUCAGGAAUCAUAAACUCAAACUCUAAAAUAAUGAGGAAAUUCAAUGACACUGUAAGAAUAAAACAAAUUAUGAAGAAAAACAUUAGACACACCUUUUCUUCAGAAGUGCUCUUGAGAAAACAAAGGAAAGCCUCUGAGAAUUGAAACCCACAAGGACCACUUCUUAAGUCAGCAAUACAAGGACAUUCAAGAGCUUUCUGAGCCAUUUCCUCAACAUUCUAAAAAAAUUAAUCGAAUUCCAAUUUUUCAUUGAUUUGUUCAUUCACCCAACUCGCCAAAGUUGAUUUUGAUCAUUAAAAUGUAGACAAACAAAACAGUAAACUACCAAAUUCGUCCCUGAAUUUGUACAGAGCUCUCAAACAAGUCCCUCAGAUUAUGAAUAUUUCAAAACAUCAUUGACUCUAUCAAAUUUUACUCAUAUUAGUUAGUCCCUCUGAGAGUCGGGAACUAAAUUGAUAGAAAGCUGUUACAUAUAGGGACGUAAUUGAUAUUAUGCGGUUAAAAUAUAGAGACCAAACCGACAAUUUAAUAGAGUCGGGGACUUUUUUGAAACAUUCAUAAUUCCAGGACUUAUUUGACAGUGGCGUACAACGUUAAGUACUAAUUUGAUGGUUUAGUUGCAAACAAACCUCAGUGUUUUGGCUUCCAUAAGCUGCAGCUUCUGAAAUAAAUGAACAGAAACAAAAUUGAAGUGAGAUUUCAGCUAGACAUUAACACAAACAGUUGGAGUGCAUGAAAAUGAAACGUGAAAAAAUAAAGAAGAUGAACCUGCGAUGACAGAUUCCAAGGAAGUGGAAUCAGAGGAACUGGAAUUUGAUACAACUGCGGUGGUGGUGGUGGUGGUGGUUUGUGGCUGUGCUUCCGCGCUUUCAGCUUGACCCAUCUUCUUGAUUAUUGUACUUGUUGAAUAAUCAAAGAUUCAAAUAUCAAAACCCAAUUCUUCUUCUUAUAGUUUAUUCCAUGACCCUCUUUUUUUUUUUUGGUCAAGUCCUAAACUCCUUUUUCUUCAACCAAACAAAAAAGUUUAGAGUUUUGCUGUUUCCACAUAUAGUAUGGCUGUGCCACACCAGUAAUUUACGCAAAUACCCUCUCGGCAGUUAACUGCCGAGGUUUUUAAGAAACCGGCGGCAGUUAACUACCGAGGAAUUCCUCGGUAGUUAACUGCCGAGGAAAAUGUUUCAUCCGAUGAAACAGCUACCUGCUCCCCCUACACACUAUUUUUCAUCACCUUCAUUUCCAACCUCAUUUCAAUCCCAAAAUCCAUUUUUUCUAUAAUCAAUUUUUGAUCCAAAAUCAUUCAAGCAUCAAGCAUAGGAGGUAUCAACACACUAUUGACGUAAAAAAACAGGUAUUGUGCGUUUUAUUUGAGUCAUUUUUUGGGUGUUUUAGGGGUAUCUACGUCAGUUACGUAGAACCCUGUCAUGGAAAUCCUCGGCAGUUAACUGCCGAGGAAAACUUCGGUUGUUUAGUGCCGAGGAAAACCUCGGUAGCUAGGUACCGAGGAACUCUUGGUGAAAAUUUUCAUCACGAAAAAAUGGCAGCCACUGCCAAAUUUUCAAAAAAAAAUUUCUUUUGUUUUUUUUGUUUUGAUUCAUUAUGGCAUUGAUGUUUAUGCAUUACUUAGUUGUUAAUUCAUAUUUAUGUGUUGUUUAAUUAUAGUAAUGGUAAAGAAUGCGAAAGAUGUUCCGGGAGAGACAAAAGAAAAUUUUGUCGAAAAUUCCGGAGAUGUCAAACCGCCUAAUUUUGAAGCGAAAACAAACAUAGAUGAAGCUUCCGUCCAUGUUGAAGCUUCAAAGUAUGUUGGCGGCUCCGGUGUACUCCCACUUCAACCCCACGAGGUCGACACGGCUAAGUUUUUUUCAGACGACGUUAAGUCGAAAAAUAGAGAUGAAUUGCUUGAGUGGGUGCGCCGACAAGCAAAUAAGGCGGGAUUUACCAUUGUCACACAAAGAUCAAGCUUGAUCAAUCCAAUGUUCCAGCUAGUGUGUGAAAGGAGUGGAAGUCACAUAGUUCCAAAAAAAAAACCGAAGCAUGCGAACACGGGCUCAAGAAAAUGCGGUUGCUUAUUCAUGAUUAGUGGAUAUCAAAGUAAGCAAACAAAGGAAUGGGGAUUGAACAUUCUUAAUGGAGUUCACAACCAUCCCAUGGAGCCGGCUUUAGAAGGACACAUUCUUGCCGGUAGAUUAAAGGAGGACGACAAGAAGAUCGUACGUGACUUGACCAAGAGCAAGAUGCUUCCAAGAAAUAUUUUGAUACACUUGAAGAACCAGAGACCACAUUGCAUGACAAAUGUGAAGCAAGUGUACAAUGAACGUCAACAAAUAUGGAAGGCAAAUAGGGGUGACAAGAAGCCGUUGCAAUUUCUAAUCUCGAAGUUGGAGGAGCACAACUAUACUUAUUACUCAAGAACACAACUUGAAAGUAAUACUAUUGAAGAUAUUUUUUGGGCUCAUCCAACAUCCAUUAAAUUGUUUAACAAUUUUCCAACGGUUUUGGUUAUGGACUCCACGUACAAGACCAACAUGUAUAGGAUGCCAAUGUUUGAGGUAGUUGGGGUGACUUCAACCGAUUUGACAUAUUCGGUUGGGUUUGGAUUUAUGACACAUGAGAAAGAAGAAAACUUUGCUUGGGUUUUAACAAUGUUGCGUAAACUUCUUUCGUCAAAGAUGAAUAUGCCUAAGGUGAUUGUUACCGAUAGGGAUAUGUCUUUGAUGAAAGCGGUUGCACAUGUUUUUCCGGAAAGUUAUGCAUUGAAUUGUUUUUUUCAUGUGCAAGCUAAUGUUAAACAAAGGUGUGUCUUGAAUUGUAAAUAUCCUUUGGGCUUUAAAAAGGAUGGGAAAGAGGUGAGCAAUCGGGAUGUGGUGAAGAAGAUAAUGAACGCAUGGAAAGCUAUGGUUGAAUCUCCCAAUCAACAAUUAUAUGCAAAUGCAUUAGUGGAGUUCAAAGAUUCAUGUAGUGAUUUCCCAAUUUUUGUAGAUUAUGCCAUGACCACCUUGGAUGAAGUGAAGGACAAAAUUGUGAGGGCAUGGACAGACCAUGUGUUGCAUCUUGGUUGCAGGACCACAAACAAGGUCGAAUCGGCCCAUGCUUUGUUGAAGAAAUACUUGGACAAUAGUGUGGGUGAUUUGGGUACUUGUUGGGAGAAAAUACAUCACAUGUUGUUGCUCCAGUUGACCGCUAUACAAACAUCCUUUGGUCAAAAUGUUUGCGUGUUGGAACAUAGAUUCAAAGAUGUCACUUUGUACUCGGGGUUAGGUGGUCAUGUGUCUAGAAAUGCUUUGGACAACAUUGCUUUGGAAGAAAAACGUUGUAGGGAAACAUUGUGCAUGGACAAUGACAUUUGUGGUUGUGUUCAAAGGACAUCUUAUGGACUACCAUGUGCAUGUGAAAUUGCUACAAAACUCCUUCAAGAGAAGCCAAUUUUAUUGGAUGAGAUAUACCACCAUUGGCUUCGGUUAUCUAUGGGUGAACAAAGUAAUGAAGAUGCUUUUUGUGUCGAGGUUGAGUUGAAGGCUAUUGUAGAGCGUCUAAAGAAACUCCCUUUCCAAAUGAAGCUUGAGGUCAAAGAGGGUUUGCGGCAAUUGGCAUUUCCUGAAACCACCUUGAUGUCUCCACCACCACGAAAAGUACCAACCAAGGGAGCAAAGAAAAAAGUCGACAUUGCGAGGUCUAAAGGAAAAAUUACAUCGACUAGUCGGAUCCCUUCUUCUUGGGAGGUUGUUGAUUCCCAAAAUCCGGAUAGCCAACCGUCACCAUCACCAACUACAUCAUCAUAUAAAAGGAAAAAAGGUGCUCGUCUUGGUAAAACAUCACUUUCCCCACUUCCACCACCUACUCGGUAUCCAAAGCCUAAAGCUAUCCCGGUUAUGCGUCCUAUUGAUUAUAUGCCACGCUUCAUGCUUCCAUUUAUUGAAAAAGUGGUGGAUGUUAUCGGCGAUGGACAUUGCGGAUUCCGGGCUAUAGCGGAGUUCAUGGGCUUGACCGAAAAAAAUCAUCUCAUGAUCCGUACACAUCUUAUCCAAGAGUUGAUGGAUCAUAGAGAUGAUUAUGUUGAAGUAUUUGCGGGUGAGGAUCGUUAUAACUACAUUUUAAACGGAUUACAUCCUCCCGCAAAUACAAAAACUUGUGCACAUCUUGUUGAUAAGUGGUUGACAUUUCCGGACAUGGGACACAUUGUUGCUAAUUAUUACAAAAUGUGUGUGGUUGUGUUGACAAAUCUUGAAGUUGGAAAAUCGGAAUCGUUUUUCCCACUAAGAGGGCCACCACCGCCGGGUAAUCAAAAAACUCCCAUCUUGUGCCUUGGGGCAAUUCCAAAUCAUUUUGUGCUUAUUUCCUUGAAGAAUGGUUGUCCACUACCUCCAUCAUCUACGGAGUGGCACAAUCACAAGAAAGAAGAUGCGGUGACUUGGGAAGAUGAGUAUUUGGAUCGACAUGACUUGUUCCGAAAGCUCAUGGCUAUUGAAAGUGGAAACAAACCGUGCAAACCACAAAAGGAGUCAAACAAAGCGGCGCCUAUUUUGUUGGACACUCCCGAAAAACCAAAGCAACAAUUUGAAGUUAUUGCGGAAGAUGAGGAAGAUUCUAUGUCACUUGAUCUUCUCCAAUCACUUGGUUUUUAAUGAGUGAUUUUUUUGUCGGUGUUAGUUCUUUUUUUAUGGUAGAAAUUACACCGAUGUAUUUUUUUGGGUCGAAAUUGUAACGCCAAUUUUUUGGUGGCCAAUAUAUAACUAACAUUAUGUAAUUUAUAUUGAUAUAUAUAUAUAUAUAUAUAUAUAUAUAUAUAUAUAUAUAUAUAUAUAUAUAUGAUAAUAUGAUUUUUAUGUGGAGAAAAUAAUGCAAUACUAAUUUAUAGCUUUUUAAUGUUUUCCGCAUUUCAUUUAUUCGUUAUUACAUUCCAUUUAAUUUUGUUCUAAUAUAUGAUUCUUUUGUUACAAAUUUUUUCAAGUGAGACAUGUCUGAGGUUGCACAAAUUGAAGGGCGGGUUAGGUACUCCGCGUUUAAAAAGACGGUUAAGGUUAUGAUAACGCCGACGGACUCUCUUGACAAUUUGAAAGCACAACUUAACACUUAUUUUGAGCAUCUUGGUGAAAAUCAAUAUACACGUCACUUGUUUGGUCAAAUGCCAUGCAUAGACCUAGGAGAAGAUAGAGAUGAAUACGCAUGGAAAACGGCAAGCUAUAUGCCUUUGCUUAUUCGCGACGACGGCAACGUCGGAUUUAUGUUUCGGAAUAUGGUGGAAGACAAUAUAUUAUAUAUGUAUGUUCGUUCCAUAUGUAAUUGCAUUGAAUGUAAGUAGGGAUUUAAUUUAAUGAUGUGUAAUGAGUAGUUUAAUUAUGGACACUUUGUAAUGUUUUGAUGAAUUUCAAACGUCUAUUUAAUUUUAACCAAAUGUCGGUUUAAUUUAAUUAUGAACAAUUGUAAAAGAUAUUGUAUUUAUCUUCAUUAUGUCCGAGUUUCAAUCAUACAUAUGAAUUAUAUUACCUUUGGAAAUGCUCUGGUUUAAUUACAGGUAAAAACUGGCCGAAAAAUGGCUUGGAAAUACUUAGAAUUAUGCAGAACCUGCUGUCUGCAUAAUCAAAUUUCCUCGGCAGUUAACUCCCGAGGUUUUCCUCGGCAGUUAACUGCCGCCGGUUUCCUAAAAACCUCGGUAGCAAACUGCCGAAGGGUAUUUUGGUAUUUUACUCGUGUGGCACAGCCAAACAACAUGUGGGAACAGCAAUACUCAAAAGUUUAUUCUUAGGAGUCACAAAAAAGUAAGUAAGUUUAUUCUUAGGAGUCACAAAAUAGUUUAUUCUUUAACCCUACAAUAAUUGGGAUCCAUUAAUUGUUCCAUCAGCAUUUCGUUAGAGAAUUAAUAGUAAUGAGUAAUUUUGAUAACGGACAUAAAAUAUGAGGAUUUUAAAAACAUAUAAUAAAAUGUAUGGAUUAUUCUUCAAAGGGGCACAAAAUGUAAGGACUAAAAACAUAUAUAACCUUUUUUUUAUAGAGUAACUUUUCUUUAUAGCUAUAUUGAGUAAUUUUUUUGUUGAAUAAAGAUCCUCUCUAUUUCUUGAAAUAAAUGGUAGUUUUCAUUACUACUGUUUUGGGCAAGGUGUAAAAAAAAAAAUUAUAUAAAUGUACAUUUUUUUAAAAUUGAAGACAUUAAUUAGAAAUUUAUACAUCAAAAUUAUAGUGAUGGAGAUGUCCAUUUCUUUUAAGAAAUGAAGAGGAUCUCAACUCUUUUUUGUUCGUCUCUUAGAAUAUUAAACUAAAAUCAUUAUAUGGUUGACGAGAAAAUUUUCGACUAAUCAAUCAUAUUUUGAAUUGUUAUACGAGAAAAUUUUUGUAUGAUCCUUUCUUUUCAUGUUAUUUUCUAUGAGAAUUGUUUAAUGAUAAUAAAAUUUCAAUGAAUUUUUAAAAUAUAACAUUAAAUAAGAUGAAAAUAGUUAGAAUAAAAAUAGAUUUUUUUCGUUCCCGUGAGCAUAACUCAGUUGGCAGGGACAUGCAUUAUUAUAUGCAGGGGUCGGGCUUCCAACUCCAAACACCCCACUUAUUCACCUUAAAAAAGGUGAAUUCUAAUCAUUAGGUUACUUAGCUUGACAAAAAAAAAAAUCGAUUUUUUUCACCUAUAAUAAGUCUAGAAAGAGUACCCAAUUAUUUACUUGUCGAAAUUUGAGUGAACAUAAGUAUAAAUCUUACAUUGACUAUGCAUAAUAAUUUUUUUGUUGAACUUGUAUGUACAUGUUUAGAUUGACAAUAAAUUUAUUGGAAUUACACUAUAAUUGUGUUUUUGGCAAAAACUAUUGUUGAAAUUCAAAAAAUUUAUAUAAAAAUAAAUAGUGGUCACUUAGGUAUUUUAUGAUAAUUCGGUUGAAAGUGAAGAAUUUAUCCUAUGUAUCUCAUGGGUUAUUCGUCAAAGAUUACACAAUUUUAGUCUAAGGAGCGGGAUGUGAGAAUCUUAGAAAUAUUUUUUGGAUAAAUUGGGAUGCAGUUUGUAUGGAUAAGGAGGUUACAGGUUUGAGGAUAAAGAAACUUCGUGAGUUCAAUAUUGCUUUAUUAGGUAAGUGGUAUUGGAGAUUGUCUGUUGGGAAGGAAAGUAUGUGGUAUAAAUUGUUGAUGGCCAAAUAUGGCGACCCUAGGGGGCGGUUGAUUGAGGGUGGAAGGGAGAGGUCAGUUUGAUGGAUCUUUGUAGCGGUACGUUGAUGAGGUGAUGGAUAGGUGGUUUGAUGAUAACUUAAGGAAUUGGUUGCGAAUGGUUUAGAUACUUAUUUUUGGAUUGAUUUAUGGUUAGACGGAGUCCAUAUGAGUAUUCGCUUUCCCCGGCUUAGUCUUUAAAAUACCUAAGUGACCAACAUAUCACUUAAUAAUUUAGUCUAAGGAGCGCUCAUCAAAGACUAAAUUUAUCUUGUGUAAUUUAGUCUAAUUUAACUGAUUAUUGCAACUAACUAUUUUACAUCUAAUAAUAACUUGUGGCUAUUGCAUGAAUCCUUCAAGAUUUGUAAGAUAUUCGAUGCUCCAUGCUCUUGAUACUGACUAAUGAUUUAGCAUUGUCAUCCAAGUAAAAACCUUCAAAGAGACUUUAGUUGGACAUCAUAGCUUAAUUGCAUGUUAUUAAUUGUGCAUAGACGGAUUAGUUUGUUGAACGUCAGGCUUACAUGCAUGCAGCAUGCACCUAAUUAUGUUGGUUUGAUUCAUGAUGAAACUACGUAUGCACAUAUAACAUGCAAUCACGGUGAGAAGUUAAAAGCUAGAAAUAGUAGCUUUUGAUUUUCACGGUGAGAAGGCAUGCAAUCAUGCGGUGGCGAUGAGAAAACAUGUAUCAAAACGUGUGCUUAAAUUUUGAUCAACAACCAAAAAAGCAAUCGAUUUAACUAGUAAAAAAAAUGAAAUAUAUUUAUGGAUAGAAAAAGAAUGAAGUACUUAUUUCGUGUUAUAGUGACUAAUUCUUUUUAAAAAGAAAAGACUUGUUAUAUAAGCAAAAAGGUUCAAUUUAAAGUAAGAAAGUCUCUUUUAAUUAAAGUUUAUUUUUGACUUCACACUCUUGGAUCGGCCUCAAAAUAUUUGUUUUUCUUAUUUCAUAAUUGAAUCCUUCAUUCUAUCCUAUGUUUGUUUGUAAUGAUGGUGUGGCUUUCCUGCACCUAAUUUAGUAGUUUGUCUUGGAACCUAGCUAGUCCCUGUUUAUUUGUUAUUGAAAAGUAGUACAUCCAUUUUGUAAAUUAAACAAUGUGACACCUAAAAAAUUCUUGUGAUUGAAAAGUAACUGGAGAAUAAAAGUAGUUUUAAUAUGAAAGAAAAAAAACAAAUAGAAAAGACACAGUAUGAGUUAAAAUAAGGAGAUGGAGAAGGGACGCCACGCUUAGCUUGCUUACCAUUAAAUAUUUGGAAAAUAAAGAUUAAAAUUUUAAAUUCAGACUAAUAAUGUUAAUUAAUAUUAAAAUAUAGUAUAAGACAAAAAUACUUGGUAUAAGAUUGCUUUGGAUAUCCUUUGAGUUUUUCAACAAAGCUAGAGGAAAUUACAGCAGUAAGUUCCGUGAAGGGAUCAUGAAUAUGCAAAUCAACGUUAUUGAUUUUUUUUCCUGAUGUGUUUGUUUUCUUUCUUAUCAGUUUGUCCUCUUGCAAUUUUUUUUAUACGAAUACUUAAUUAAGAGUAAAAGAGUGUUAUUAUUUAUAUAUAAUAUAAUCAUGUUAGGUUAUUGUUUUUUAUGCUAAAUCACUUUUUUUUUUGUCUUGAGUGUAAAAAAGUAUGAAAUUAGAUUCCAGCUUUGGUUUCUGUAUAUUGUUGUCUUUACAACUAUCAAUUGAAUUGUAUUUAUAUGACUAUACCAAAUCGUAUUUACAUUGAGCUCAAUCAUUCUUUUUUAGUGUUCAAUAUGUAUAUCGAGAAUGAUGGACUUGUGUAAGAGAUACGGAUAAUAUUAUAGUUACACAUACGUGUUCCUCCUUGAGGUUUCAGGUUCAAUUCUCUCUUGUGUCAAUUUAGGUGGGCUAAUUUAGCUUCUUCAAAAAAAUAUUAUAGUUACACAUGACACUCUCCUUCUUGAGAGAAAUGAGAGCUGGUCAUUCGAAGUUCAGCUGAGAAUCCAAACAUAAUUCAAACUCAAACAUUUACCCUUACGUUUUGUCAAAGUUGAUUAAUCACUUAAAUUCAACUAUUCGAUUACAAUGCUCGACAAAUGGCUUAGAAUUGGUUUGACAUGCUCCAAACCUCUUGAAAUGACCCAAAUACUUACAUUCACAUUAUCUUAUGAUUACUCAAGAGUAAGCUUUGCUCUAAAGUCGGGAGGGAAAAAGAAUAUGAGAUUUUAAGAGAAAGGGAAGAGGAAAGGGGAGUGUUAGAAGUUAUAGUUAUUCACUUUGUAUGGAGGGUUUAUUUUUCUCAAUAAAACUAAAACUUCUAUAUAUAAAGGAACUCAAAAAACUUACUAAAGCUUAUCCCCCAAAGCUAUCCUUAACCCUAAUCUUUUCCCCCUAAUUUUUCCCUCCACUUUUCUAAGCCAUUGGAUCAUGAACAUUUAGGCGCCAUAGAACAUCAGCCGUUGAUCUAUCUACACUUAUUGCUCAUCCUAAUCAGCAUUCCAUUAUGUAUUCAUAUUUUCCCUCCCUCAAUCAACUCCUCCAUUUAAUUGUUUGGUUCCAGUGCAAAAAUAUUAUUCCAAUGCAAUUGAGCAUUUAAAUGCUCAUUCUCUUUACCAUGCAUAUAUUUAUUGUACUUCAUGUUGUUCCCUUUUUCUCUCAUCACUUGAUUUGAUCACUCUCUCCUUUCCUAAUCAUGUUCUUCUUCUCCUCUUUCCACGAAUUACUUCAUCUCCGCUUUCACUAUGCAGAUCAACCAUGUUCUUUUUUCCACACUCUUUUGUCUCCAUUGCCUCUCACCAUCGUCUCAACCCUUUCACUAUGUUGCGCUUUUAAUUUGUUUUAUUGAUGAUGCAGAGUUCUUUGAUCCAGAUCUGGGUCAUUUGAAGAUGUGAUACAACAUGUACUUGGUUAUGGUAUAUUAAGAGAAGGUAUUUGGUUAUGGUAAAUAUUUGGUAUUUGGUUGUGCAAUCAUGUUAUAAAUUUAUGGUUUGUUAACAGCUCCCUUUGCCUUUUUGCUCUCCUAUCAUUGCAUCACUGGUUUGUAUAUUCUUUCCUUAUCUCCCAUAGGUUUUUUCGAUUCAGCUAUAUAACCUGCUGUGUCGUUUUAUUUUUCUAACCAACUGUUUUAAUACUUUCUUUUGUAGCACCAUUGGUGCGUAAUCCAGUUACGGUAAUGGAUCGACUAAUCAAUAAGCAGCAUUAAACAAAAAAUGAUCCGGAAGAAGAAUGAUUGAUGCACGAAAGACUAAUUGUUUAUCGAUUUUGUGUUUUGUCAUUAGACAUAUCUUUUUUGAUUCAAGUAGCGUUUCACAAUGUAUCCGUCAGAACUAAUUGUUUUUGUUUAUUAAGUAAUAUUCAAACUUCAAUCCGAAGUAUUCUUUAUAUUUUUUCAUUACCGAAACAUAUGCCUUUAUCAUUUUUGGGGUUAGUACUUGCAUGUCGAUUACAAUCAUCGAAGUUGAACAGAACUUGAUUAUGCUAUAUAAUGGUUUAGCACAGUAAUCUUCAUAUGCGUUAAUUUUUACUUAUACACAUGCGUUUUUUUUUUUUAAUAAAAGGAAGGUAUGCAACUGCAUUCAAAAUCUAAUUAACAUUUUCAUACAUUUUUGAGUAAUAUUCAAAUUGUCAACGAUGAAGAGGAAGCUACCUUUGUUAAAUUGACAUUAAAAUUGAAUAAGUAUUGAUGCAAAACUAGAAAAGAUGUUAAAUGAAAAAAAUUGGCUAGAUGUAAAUUGAAAUCAAAAGAGAAUUACCAUUGCUACAAGAUUAAUUUCUCCAAAUGAACAAUUGUGUCAAGAACGAGUCAACUAUCCAUUUUCAUGGUAAUUAUCACACGAGUUUUAACAUUUUUAACUUAAAUGCUUUUUACUGUUGUUUUAAAACUAGAGUCAACCAUCCACCUUUAUAUUUUAUGUUUGAUAUGCUAUUUUAACAUGAACCAUUACUUUGGAAAUACCAACCUCAUGAUCCAACUUAUAUUGAACUCCUAUGGCUUAAGUGGCGUAGUCGAAUUUCAUCCUGAAGACUUUAUCAGUAGUUCUAUAUUCCACAUAAUCGAUUAGUUUUAAGCUAAAAUUUAUAUUUUAUCAACAAUUCUAUUUUACAAUUGGAGUCCCAAUCCAUUUCUUUUAUUUUACAAUUCUAAUUUUUAUUUUCUUUAUAGCUUCAUACUACAAAAUAAAUGUUGUCAUUAGAAAAACCCAUAAAAUUGUUUCAAACAAAAAACCAUAAAAUAAAUUUUGUCCUUAUAUGCUUUUUUUAAAAAGAAAAUAAAUUUAAGGCUGUCUUUUUUUUAAUAUAAAUGGAUUAAUAGGGUAAACAAUGAACCUGGAAAUCCAUAAGUUUUUGGGGUGCAACAUUUAGAGUGGUACAUUGUUAAGAAGAAAAUAAAUUUAAUGCUGCUUUUUCGCGAAAACUGAUUUUAUCUAUACUAUAAAAUAACUGUUGACAUUAUAUGCUUUUCCACGAAAACUUAUAUGAAUUUAUUUUUAAGAAGAAAGUUUAUUUACAUAGAAGUUAGAAGAAAGUUAUCCAUGAAGUAUAAUAAAAUAAAUGUUGUCGUUAGAUGCUUUUCCACGAAAACUUAUUUGAAUCUAUUUUUAAGAAGAAAGUUUAUUUACAUAGAAGCUAGAAAAAAGUUAUCCAUGAAUUAAUAUAUAUGACAUCAAUAUCAAGAAUAUUAUGGUAGAAUUUAGCAAUAACAAAUUUAACUCCAAAAAUUUAGAUAGCAUGAACAAAUUCACGGAUUAACCAUGAACACUCUUUACUUUUGUAGUAUGAAGUUAUAAAAAAAAAUAAAAAUAAAAAUAAAAAUAAAAAAUAAAAAAUUGAAUGUUUAAUAGGAUAUAGAAAAUUAUCAUUUUUUAAGAAAAGGAUAAUCAAUAUUAAUAAUGUGAGACAAUUGCAUUUUUUUUUUCUUAACAUGUUUUUUAAGUGUUUUAUGGUGUAUUAAUGCUACAAUCUAAUAUGUUAGCAGGAUGUAAUACAUUUAGGAAAAUGUUUGAUAAGGAGGUUGGAUAUGAUUUAGUAUACCGUUACAUCAAGAUGAUCAAUCAGACAUUAAAUUAGUAUGAGGUCGUGGUUGACCAAAAGCAUGGCAAGAUAUGUUUCACACAUGGUUUGAGUGAGUUGGACAAAGAAUAUACUCCCUCCCAUCACUAUUAUAAGUAAAAAACAAUUUUUAGCUUCAUUGAAUAAAUGAUAUAUUUGUCUAUAUUGUUAGUCAAAUACAUCAUUUAAUAAAUGAACCUAAAAGUUUGUUUUUGCUUAUAACAGUGAUAGGAGGGAGUAUUUAUACCGAGAUUAUCAGUUACACUAUCACUUUCAAAUUUCAAUCAAGACAAUUUCCGUUAAUUGUGUUAUUUGCAGGGGCGGAUCCAGACAUUUGAUAUUGGUGUGGCAAAAUAUUUAAAUCAACUAUAUUUAUUAACAAAGUAAAUAAUUGAUACCUUGAACAAUAUAGCGAAAUGGUAUAGAUGGAAGCAUUUUACCAUUGUGUUGCAGGUUCGAUUCCCUGCAACACCCUUUCAACUGCCACACCAUGUUUCAUAUUAGAUCCGCCCAUGGUCAUUUGUAAUGACUAUUAGCACGGGACAUAUAUCUAGUUUAUAAAUAAUUUGUCUUGCUUUUUUACGUUUAUAUGAUUAGUUUUUUUUUUUAGGGAAAGUUUGUAUGAUUAGUUAUUUCCAUCAUAAUAUUUAUUGAUAUAUACAAACAAACAAAAUUGUACAAUAAAUACGGAUAUUUUGGAGGAAAAAAAUUAUGUAGUAAAAAUUUGAAAUCGAACGUUAUAAAAAGCUACAUAAAUUUUUGGGUUAAAUAAGUUUUUUAUCCUCAAAAAAUUAAACAAACAUAUUUUAAGAUAGUGGUAGUACAUAUUUUCAACACAUUAUCUCCUGUUAAUUUAGAUUAAAAUCAGUCCCUCUAAAUUGGGAAGGUCCAAAACUUUUGACAAAAUCUAUGUACAGUAAAUUUUAAUCAAUUAAAUUAAAUAUAGUACAUUGAGUUGCAUAUCAUUUUUGUCUUCACAAUUUAAAAAUACAAAUUUAUGACCUAUUAACAACAAAAUACAGUACAAAACCCAUCCAGACAUAAACUUUCAAGAAUUAUGAAAUUAGUCAAAUAUUGGUUGCCGGCUAGAGUUUUGUAUAUAACCUAUCACAUUCUUCAACACAUAAAUUCAAUCUUAAACAGUAUAUAUGAAUCUCCUAUAUAAUACAAAAAGAACAAGUUAACCACCCAACAUAAACAAGAGACAACCUCGUCUGCUAGUUGCCUAUGUAAACCAUUAAAAAACAUCAAUAAAACAUCACAUCUUCCAAACCAAACAGCACACAAACAAUUAGAAAAUUCCCUCAUUUGUCACUACUAGGUAAUUAUCAAUCCUCUAUGCUUUAUUUUAUAAGUACAUGCUAGAAACUAUUGAACUCAAAAGUCUUUGGUUCUAUGAUCUAAUACCUAUCCUCCUCUUGUUUUUGGUCAAUGAUCCAACACUAUUAACCUCUUCAAACCCUUCAAAUUUUCUUCUUCAAUAUCUCAUAGUUUUUUUCUGUUUUUUCAUUACAAUGACUAUGGAACCAAAUCCAACAUCAGAUCACAUUCUUGAUUGGCUUGAAGGUUCUGUCUCUUUCUUUCCAUCAUUUUUGGAUGAUCCAUAUAACAAUGGUUACAUCCAUGAGUAUGAGAUAUGGAAUCAGAAUCAAGAUAUAAGUAACCAGUACCAAAUUGAUGCCAAUACUAAUUCUUCUAAUGCCACAAAUAGCACAACCAACAUUGUUGCUGCUAGUACUACCACAAGUACAACAUCCCUUGAGCCUAAUAGCUUUAAUAACAUACCCUUUUCAGAUUUGCCGAAGAAACGAAAUGCCGAAGAUGAACUAAGUCUCAAAAAACAACCUCAAAACCAAAAGAACAAGAGACUUAAGAGUCGUCCGAUGAAUGAAAGUGAUAAUGGAGAUGCAGCUCUUGAAGGGACAGUGGUUAGAAAAUCUGGUGGGAACAAGAAAGGUGCAGCUAAGGCCAAUGGAAGUAACAGUAACAAUGGAAACAAUAAGGAUGGUAGGUGGGCUGAGCAGUUGCUCAACCCUUGUGCUGUAGCCAUAACCGGUGGAAAUCUGAAUCGUGUGCAACAUCUCUUAUAUGUUCUCCAUGAGCUAGCCUCAACUACCGGUGAUGCCAACCACCGGCUUGCAGCACAUGGUCUUCGAGCAUUGACACACCAUUUAUCUUCAUCUUCGUCAUCUACCCCAUCAGGGACUAUUACUUUUGCAUCUACAGAACCGCGAUUCUUCCAAAAGUCAUUACUGAAGUUCUAUGAGUUUAGCCCUUGGUUUUCCUUUCCUAAUAACAUAGCAAAUGCUUCCAUUCUUCAAGUUCUAGCUGAAGAGCCGAACAAUUUGCGCACCCUUCACAUCCUUGACAUUGGAGUCUCUCAUGGUGUGCAAUGGCCAACUUUUCUAGAGGCCUUGAGUCGUCGACCUGGUGGACCUCCUCCUCUUGUUCGCCUUACUGUCGUUAAUGCCUCUUCAUCCACUGAAAAUGACCAAAACAUGGAGACCCCAUUUUCAAUAGGUCCAUGUGGUGAUACUUUCUCUUCUGGACUCCUUGGUUAUGCUCAGUCCUUAAAUGUCAAUCUGCAGAUAAAAAAGCUUGAUAAUCAUCCAUUGCAGACAUUGAAUGCUAAAAGUGUUGACACAUCCUCUGAUGAAACCCUUAUUGUCUGUGCUCAGUUCAGGUUGCAUCACUUGAAUCAUAACAAUCCUGAUGAAAGAAGUGAGUUUCUGAAGGUGUUGAGAGGCAUGGAGCCUAAAGGGGUGAUAUUAAGUGAGAACAACAUGGAGUGUUGCUGCAGUAGUUGUGGCGAUUUCGCCACUGGAUUCUCACGAAGAGUGGAGUACUUAUGGAGGUUUUUAGAUUCAACCAGUUCGGCAUUCAAAAACCGUGACAGUGAUGAAAGGAAAAUGAUGGAAGGCGAGGCUGCAAAAGCAUUGACAAACCAGCGUGAAAUGAACGAAAGGAGAGAAAAAUGGUGUGAAAGAAUGAAAGAAGCAGGGUUUGCAGGGGAAGUAUUUGGAGAGGAUGCAAUUGAUGGAGGUCGAGCUUUGUUAAGGAAGUAUGAUAAUAAUUGGGAGAUGAAAGUAGAAGAAAAUAGUACAAGUGUGGAACUAUGGUGGAAGAGCCAACCUGUUUCUUUCUGUUCUUUGUGGAAACUGGAUAAACAACCAGAGUAGUUCGAGCUCAACAUUGACAGCAAGGCUAUAAGCAAGGUACCUUGGUUUUGGAGUUCUGUAUAGAAGUAGCAGUUGCCACCAUGAUGAAGUUAUUUCACCACAAUGUAGUUCUUCCUUAUGCUAAACUUACAACUACAAGCAUAUUUGUAUGAUAUUGAGUUAAGAAUUAUUUAAUUUGAUGUAUGUUUUGUAAUGAUUGAUAGCUAUUCAGAAGGUAGUAUUGAUUCAAAAUUGAUAGCUAUUCAGAAUGUAGUAUUGAUUCAUAGUUAGGCACUUGUUGUUUUUCUGCUACAAAUCUGCAAAUUAGAUCAUCUAAGCUAACAAAUGUGGCAUUAAAAAUCAAAAGGUUCGGCCACUACUCUAUUUUGUUAACACAUCUAUUAAAUAUGUAUGCUUUGAAAGUUCCAUUACAGGUCAAGCAAUAAAACUCAUGUUCCCUUAACUGGUAUGUAGGACCGUCUGACAAAAAUAUAAAGCUGUAUUUCGAAAGUGGCAUUUACAAGCACACUUGUAUAAACAGAUAUAUCUUUAAACUGGGAGUAGAGUAAUACAGGUAACAAGGAACAUUUCAGGGUUCACUCUAUAGUUGUCUAGUGAAAUUAAAUGUGUACACUGCAACCGGGAAAAUCGGAAAUCUUUCAAUAUUACGCAAUAAGGAUGGAUCAUAGAUGUAUCUGUUACAAAGGUAAAUGCAAUAUGAAUCUCAGUCAACGCCUAAAUUGCUCAAUUUAGUUACAGAAUCAGAAUGUUUAAUUAACGUCAAACGCCACAAUAUUCAAGUGGUAUAUUUGUCAGUUUUGGAUUACACGUUCUCGUUCUUCACCUCUUCAAACAUGCACAUUCUUACUAGUUAAGCUUAGGCUUCUUCUAAUUCGCAUUCUUAUUGCAAAAUUCAUAUUUGAAACUAAGAAUGAGCUUCUCACUCUAAGGAAAAUUAAAGAACUUAAGGUAUUAAUGGGAACCAAACAUCCUUAACAAAUCAUGAGUUUACUAAAAUUCAUGAAUUAAUGCAACAGAUCAUGAGUAUACCUUCAUUGAUUUUGCUAAAAACAGUAGAAAUAUUCAACUUUUUCUCCCUAGAGUAUACUACCAAUUUUAGAGGAGCUUAAACUCCUCCGGAAAAAACCAGUACAGUGAGAAGCCGGCUAUGACUUACACUCGACUGCCCUAUUCAAGCCAUAUUCAAUUAUCUAUACUAGCUAAAUUCAUGUGUUCUCAUAAGAUACUAGGGCUACAUAUCUAUCCAAAUUAAAUGCAACAUUUGCUAUUAACAAACAUGGAAGCCUCCUGCCACAGUAAAGGAAAACUGGCCUCUGUCUACUCAAGAUUCGAAAAUUCGCACUGAAUCCCGGACCUCCUGACGACAAACUGGACACUUGGGUGCCACUUCACUUUCAACUGAAAUGGCACACCCUUGGCAACAUACAAGAUGCCCACAUGGAAUAAAAACAGAGCGCCUUCUCCUCAUCAGACAUAUGACGCAUAAUUGUCCAUCUGGAACAUCUUCAAUCUCAUCAUCUGUUGGAGGAACAGGUUCAAUGGGUUGUUGCCUUCGUUGCUGGAGCUGCCUUUGUUGCUUCCAUUGUUUCCAUUUAUUCCAGUUCCUUAGAAAAUGAAAAUUUGUCUUCAAAUCAAUUAUAACCGCUAAAAAUAAUACUAUCAUUUUAAAAAAUUUGAGCAAUUCUUCUGAUUAUUGACAAAUUAAUGCCAUCAAUGUGUUAGCCAAAUAAAAAAAAUUCAUUUACUCUAUUUGUUUCAUCAUGAUAAAGUUUAUCCAACCAAAGUCACAGGAAAUUCUAAAGUCAGCCAUGAUUAACGAAAUUCAAAACCAACAUACCUCACGACGGCAUAGCCGAUGAUCCCAACUGACAUUGAACCAAGAAGAAUACCACUCCAAAACAGUAAUUUAGUUUUGAAGGAAAGAUCUACAAUCAUCUGAUCUUUACUCAAGUCAGACCUACAAAAAACAUGAAUCAUUUUCUGGUAUUUUUUAGUUACAUGAGCACAAACAUGCAACUGGAAGGGAAUAAACAUCAAUAAUUCAGCACUAGUCUUCAUUAAUGCAUCACCAAAAAAUUAUUGAGUUGCCAAAUUAUACUUCACCAGAAGCAAUUUAUACUU
RNAcentral lists this long non-coding RNA (86078 nucleotides) under Medicago truncatula (barrel medic). RNAcentral's name for it is "long non-coding RNA (MTRU_LNC005937)". The stretch from base 32011 to 32096 matches the Rfam family "MIR2617 microRNA precursor family". The record is from RNAcentral. Lineage: Eukaryota; Viridiplantae; Streptophyta; Magnoliopsida; Fabales; Fabaceae.